GCUUUUGCUCUUGCUCUUGCUUGGAGCUGGGGCCGGAACCUCAGCAGUAGUUGGUGCAGCAACAGGAGCCGGAGGAGAGGCCGAGCUCUCUGGUGGAGUCGUCGGUGCAGCAACGGGAGGCGAUUUGGCUGGAGGAGAGCUCACAGGUACUGGAGCAGGUGGAGAACUCACCGGAGCAGCAGCCGGAGGAGAAGAAGCCGGAGCAGAUUUAGAUGGGGCUGGAACCGCCGCAGACUUCUCCGGAGCCGCAGCCGGUGGUGAAGAAGUUGGUGGGGAAGUGGUAGGGGCAGCAGUUGGAGCCGGUGAUUUAGGUUUGCUAACAGGGGCAGUAGCGGGAGCAGUAGCAGGAGUAGCCGCGGCCGGCGGAGCUUUAGUAGGUGAGGCUGCCGGAGAUUGACCACCGACAGCGGUUACCACAAAGCAAAUCAAAGCAACUGCAAAUGCACUUCUACGAUCCAUUUCUUGAAGACAGAGGGAGAGUGAAGUAGUAACAGAAACUAAUGACAACGAGACGACAGACUCUCAAUAAAUAUAUAAAUAAAUGAGGGAGAGAAUCAGAAAAAAUGAUGAUUAUAAAAAGAAAAGAAGAAAAAGUUAGGAACGUGUUUGGAUCAGAAAUAGCCGUUGGAUGAGAAGCUAUUUCGGGGCCCACCGUCAUCAAAUUGUAAUGUGGCGAUCAAGACUCGACAGUCUGGAUUGGGGCCCACAUACAUGAACCAUGUAAUUUGUUGUUACAUUACCUGAUUAGGGUAAACUACACCCAAGGUCACUGAAGUAUUAAUAAAUUUACAUUUCAGUCGUUUAACUUUAAAAAGUUACAAAAUAGUCACUAAAUCAUUCGGAAGUUUUUAUUUAAUUCAUUGAGAUAUUAAAUCUCUGUUAUAUGGCUUUCUUUAUUCACACGGCCUACACCAAUCAAAAGAUCUUAUUCUCCUUCUCUUCAACAAUUUAAUUAUUUUCAUAGAAUAAUUUUGAAUGUUAUGAAUUUACGAAUCAAAAUUCAAACAGUUUUCUUUUUCAAUCUCUUACAAGGUAUGUUCUUCUACUCUUUGAUAGGUACUAAUCCAUUGUAUCAAUCGUCAUAAAAAAAUACUUAACAAUUCAAUGACUUAAAUAAAUACUUUCAAAUAAUUUAGUGACCAUGUUGUAACUUUUUAAAGUUAAGUGACCAAAAUAUGAAUUUACUAAUAAUUUAGUGACCUUAGGUGUAGUUUACCCUACUAAUUAAUAUUAUAAUAAAUGUUUAAUUCUAUCCCCAACCUCUGUACUCUUUGGGGUUUUAAAAUUUAGCCUUCCUACUUUUGAUUUUAAAAAUUUAGUUUCUCUUCAUUUUUAUUUAAAAGUCCAAUUCAUGAAAACUUGGUUAAAUUUUAAUAUUCGAAGCUUUGAUCUAAAAAUAAUAAUAUAUAUUUAAAUUGAAUGGAAAUGUUAUUAAUUAAAUUUUAAUUUUUAAAUCAAGCAGGAGAGAUAGGGAAUUAAAAUUUAAAAUUAAAAUUUAAAAGCUGAAAGAGUAAAGGGGUUGGAAAAAAUUAAACCUACAAUAACUAAUUGAAUGAUACAAUUGUUAUGAAGUAGUGAGACAGCUGGACGUAGGGAGAGUGGGGUAUUGCUGCGCAAAGAGACAAACCAAUAGGAGGCGGCCGCGUGACCGGGUAAAGCAGUUACGGGUGAUAUUUUGAGAUGGGUCACCGACUCACCGGCAAGAAACUGUGUCUCUGCAAGCAAAACUUGUCUGGAAUAACGUGACGUGUAUUAUACUUAAACACCCUAACCUUUUCUCUUUUCGUUAAAAAUUGUCAAGUGGCUAAGGCUUUUUUUUUUAUCAUCUAUAUAUUAGAGUUUUAAAAAAAGUUUUGCAAAAUAGUUGAGUUGUGUAAUUAUUUCACCUCCACCCUUUGGCCUCUCUCGGUACAUUAUUAUGUAAAAGUGAGUAUUCCACUGAAUCGAUUAAAAAAUUUUGAGUUAAUUGAGUUAACGAGUUUUAUUUUAUCAUUCUAACUCGAUUUAAUUUUUUUUCAAAUUGAAUUGAGUAAAAUAAAAUUCGAGUCGAUUCGAAUGAAAUUGUUUGAGUUAAAUUAAAAAAUUAAACAUGUUAAAUUAAAAUCUUGUUAUACUAUAUAGAGGUGCUCAUGGGCCGGGCGGCCCGGCCCGGCCCGACGGCCCGCCCGAAAUAUGGGAGGGUUUGGGUAAAAAUAUAGGCCCGAAAUAUGGGCUUGGGCAAAAAAAUGAUGCCCGAUUUAAAAACGGGCCGGGCCUCGGGCACAACUUUUUUGGCCCGGGCCCGGCCCGGCCCGGCCCGAAUAUAAUAAAUAUUUUUAUUAUUUUUAAUUUUAAAAUACUUUUAAAAUACUUUUAUUAAAUUUUUUAAAUUUUUAAAUUUUUUUAAAAUACUUUUUAAAUUUUUUUUAAUUUUAAAAUAUUUUUAAAAUACUUUUUUUAAUUUUUAUUUUAAUUUUUAAAAUAAUUUUUUGGUAAUUAUUUAAAAAACGGGCCGGGCCGGGCCCAGGCUUAUGAUUUUUUUCCCAGGCUGGGCCUGGGCAAAAUUCUAGGCCCAUAUUUUGGGUCGGGCCAAAAAAAAUUUUUGGGCCCGGCCCGGCCCAGCCCAUGAGCACCUCUAAUACUAUAACUAAUUCCAUGUUAUAACACAUAAAUUUGAAACCAUAUAUAUUUGAAAACUUUUUCAAAGCAGAAUAAAAAAAUUACUUUAGUAUGAUAAACUUGAAUCAUUAAUUAACUUAUUUAGGUCCCAAAAUUAUUAUUCUAGAAAAUUUUUAAUAUUUUAACUUUCUUUAUAUUUUUUUAGAUUUUUUUUUGAAAUUUUUAUAAUUUUUAAAAAGUAUAAAUUUGGAAUUUUUAUAAAUAUUUUGAAAUUUUAAAAUUAUUUUGUAAUUUUUAUUGAGAGAGUGGUCAAUUUGUUCAUUUUCAAACUUGGCAGAGACCAAAAAGGUAUUUAUACCAAUAUGUUAUUCGAAUUAUUCGAGUUAUUUUAAUUGUAAAAUUCAACUCGAUUCGAACUCGAAACUCGAAUUACUUACUCGAGUUGACUUGAAUAAUUCAAAUAACUCGAUUCAAUUAACUCAAAAUUUAAUUUUUUUCGGAUUAAAUUGAAUUUUGCUCACUCCUAUUAUUUUGCACAGCAUCACAAUAUAGAUUUUUCGGUUUUAAAAUAUCGCCGAUCUAUAUUCUUCUUCAAUGCUAUAAAGCUCGACCCUUCCACAAUCAUUAUCUAUACAUCAUCAUCAUACAUUGUAUGAAUCGUAGAAUAUAUUACUGGAUUGUCAUAUAUAAUAAAUUUAUAUCUAUUCAUCAUCAUCAUACAUUAUACAAAAAUAUAUAAUAUGUCAAUUUACUACAUUCAUGAUAUGGAUUGAAAGAUAAAAAUUACACAAAUAAAAAUUACAUUUACUAAAAAUAAUGAUAUUUUCAAUAAUUAUUUGAUUUUAUAAAUAAAAGAGUUAUUAAUUAAAAUGAUAAAUAAAAAAUAAAAAAAACUUGAAAACAAUAUAUUUAUUAAUUAUAAAUAUUAAUUAAAAAUAAUAAAAAAGUUGAAAUAAAAAAUACAUAUUAAAAUUCUUAUAAAAGGAAUCAAACUUAGGACUGAAAGAAGAAAUCACAAUUAUCUAACCAUCUAACCAAAAGAGCUAAUGUGUCAAAAAUAUUAAUUUAAAAAAAAACUUAAAAUAACAUGAAAUAAAAAUUACAAAAGUGAAUAGGAGAGGAAUUGAACCUAAGACUUAAGACUAAAAACACUAACACUUAACCAUCUGAUCAAAAGAGCUAAGUUGUCAAUUUGUGAAAACAUGACACAUGUUCAGCUGACGUAGCUAAAAAUAUGCCCUAUAAGACGCAUUUUCAAUGACAUAGACAGUGAAAAUGCACCAUGUAAGACGUGCUUUCCUUUCUCUCUUCAAAACAACAUUGAUAAAUUUAAAAAAAACAACAUAGAUAAUUAAAUGUAGAUUUUUUUUUUCAGCAUAAAUGGAUAAAUCAACCUGGUAUAUAUUAAAUUAAUUAUAUUAUCUUAAUUAUUUAUUUGACUGAGUCUUAUUAAUGAAUGCCAAAUAUUAUAUAUUAUUAAUUAAUAUUUGCCUUCUGUUUCGAGCAAAUAAGAAAGCUUCAUAUUGGCCAUUUACACGCACACACGCAUAUAUAUCAUAGUGUAUUAUGAAUAUUCCAAGUGAAGGGAAUUUGCAUGCUUUUGGCUUUGGGUUGAUGGGAAAACGACAAAAACACCAAUAUUAACCAAUAAAAUUAAAAGCUUUAGAAUUAAGGACGAAUCACGCUUGAAAGUAGGCAUUGGGUCUAAUACAGUUUGUAUACAUUUGAUGCUUCAAAUAAUGCAUUUUGAAAGUUUGCUGCUUGGGCUUACAUUUUACAGGGUUUUGUUGUAGAGAAAAAGAGAAUUUUUAAUUUGUAGAGUCCUCUUGUGAAGUGCUUCUUCUGAUACGUGGCAAUUGUGAAUGUAAGAAGUUUCAUACAUGUAAGUCUGUCUGGUGUUUGCAGCCGGGGGAGAAGACGAUAGGAACCAAUGAAUAACGUCUCUCCUGGUUUAUGCCCCCAUGCCUAAUUAUUUUUUACUCAAAACUGUUCUUUCAGAUUAAACUAAAUAUUCAGAUUGAUUUGUAAGAUAUGCAUUUGCUGCCAUUUUAAGCUUUCCUGUACUUUCAUUGGAACAUUGUCUAACCAAACAACUCCUUUUUUCCCUGUAAUGGUUCAUGAGCUAUAUAUGAUCGUUUCAGUUUUGUUACUUUUACAAUGUUUAACCUGCACAAAUGAUCUUGGGAUUCAUUAGCAUUGGUAUUAGUAAAAUAAAUUGUGAUUUUAUUAAAAUAUAAUAGAGAAAUAAAAGACAGAAAAUGGGUAAAUGAAGGGGAAAAAAAAAAAGAAUGGGGGAAAUUACAUAGGAAAAAAGAACUAGAGUUUCCGCCUCUCAAUACACCAACCAAAGAAUUACAACGCAGAAUGUGGAAUGUGAUCAAAAUCAAUCUAGAAGCUCAAAGCAAUGGCUGCCCAUCCCAACGCCAACCCUCCAAUUAUCUUCUUCAUGUUCUUCAUUGCCUCUGCUCCACUCUGCAUUUGUUUAUAAUAACUCUUUAAAUGUUACAAAUAAAUAUAGUUUUAAGAUGAAAAAAAGAUCCAUUGGUCGGUCCUUUUUCAGAAAAGUAAAUGAACUAGCUCAACGGUGCAUCCUUUAGACGCGAUUAAAAGAAAAACAAGAUCUCUCUACAUUUAUGCAGUGUAAAAGUUCAGAUCUGAAAGCGCAUUGUUAUAUGAUGUAAGCUACUGAAGCGUUAGUAAAGCGAAGAGAAUGUACCUCAUCGGCAGCGACAGAUGGACCGGGAGAGGAAGCAUCGAGGCUAGGUCCAGGAGCUCCAGUUGGUGGAGCGGGAGGUCCAAGCAUAUCAGGUGAAGGAGCCGGAGCAUGGUGUUUCUUGGAUUUCUUGCUUUUGCUCUUGCUCUUGCUUGGAGCUGGGGCGGGAACCUCAGCAGUAGUUGGUGCCGCAACAAGAGCCGGAGGAGAGGCCGAGCUCUCUGGUGGAGUCGUCGGUGCAGCAACGGGAGGCGAUUUGGCUGGAGGAGAGCUCACAGGUACUGGAGCCGGUGGAGAACUCACCGGAGCAGCAGCCGGAGGAGAAGAAGCCGGAGCAGAUUUAGAUGGGGCUGGAACCGCCGCAGACUUCUCCGGAGCCGCAGCCGGUGGUGAAGAAGUUGGUGGGGAAGUGGUAGGGGCAGCAGUUGGAGCCGGUGAUUUAGGUUUGCUAACAGGGGCAGUAGCGGGAGCAGUGGCAGGAGUAGUCGCGGCCGGCGGAGCUUUAGUAGGUGAGGCUGCCGGAGAUUGACCACCGACAGCGGUCACCACAAAGCAAAUCAAAGCAACGGCAAAUGCACUUCUACGAUCCAUUUCUUGAAGACAGAGGGAGAGUGAAGUAGUAACAGAAACUAAUGACAACGGGACGACAGACUCUCAAUAAAUAUAUAAAUAAAUGAGGGAGAGAAUAUCAGAAAAAAUGAUGAUUAUAAAAAGAAAAGAAGAAAAAGUUCGGAACGUGUUUGGAUCAGAAAUAGCCGUUGGAUGAGAAGCUAUUUCGGGGCCCACCGUCAUCGAACUAUCAUACAAAGACACAUUGUAAUGUGGCGAUCAAGACUCGACGACAGUCUGGAUUGGGGCCCACAUACAUGACCAUGUAAUUUGCUGUAACAUUACCUGAUUAGGGUAAACUACAGCCAAGGUCACUGAACUAUUAAUAAAUUUACAUUUCAGUCAUUUAACUUUAAAAAGUUACAAAAUAGUCACUAAAUCAUUCGGAAGUUUUUAUUUAAUUCAUUGAGAUAUUAAAUCUCUGUUAUAUGGCUUUCUUUAUUCACACGGCCUACACCAAUCAAAAGAUCUUAUUCUCCUUCUCUUCAACAAUUUAAUUAUUUUCAUAGAAUAAUUUUGAAUGUUAUGAAUUUACGAAUCAAAAUUCAAACAGUUUUCUUCUCUGAUCUCUUACAUUGACUAUUAGAUUGACUUGGAUCUGAGGUAUGUUCUUCUACUAUUUGAUAGGUACUAAUCCAUUGUACCAAUCGUCGAAUCAUUGCUUGGAGCUCGCUAGCCGAAAUUUAAAAAAAUACUUAAUAACCCAAUGACUUAAAUAAAUACUUUCAAAUAGUUCAGUGACCAUGUUGUAAUUUUUUAAAGUUAAGUGACCAAAAUAUAAAUUUACUAAUAAUUUAGUGACUUAGGUGUAGUGUACUCUAGUAAUUAAUAAUAUAAUAAAUGUUUAAUUCUAUCCUUGGGGUUUUGAAAUUUAGGCUUUCUACUUUUGAUUUUAAAAAUUUAGUUUCUCUUCAUUUUUAUUUAAAAGUUAAAAGUCCAAUUCACAAAAGCUUGGUUAAAUUUGAAUAUAUAUCAUUUUAAUAUUCGAAGACUUGAUCUAAAAAUAAUAAUAUAUAUUUAAAUUGAAUGGAAAUGUUAUUAAUUAAAUUUUAAUUUUUAAAUCAAGCAGGAGAGAUAGGGAAUUAAAAGGUGAUAGAUUAAAAUUUAAAAGCUGAAAGAGUAAAGGGGUUGGAAAAAAUUAAACCUACAAUAACUAAUUGAAUGAUACAAUUGUUAUGAAGUAGUGAGACAGCUGGACGUAGGGAGGGUGGGGUAUUGCUGCGCAAAGAGACAAACCAAUAGGAGGCGGUCGCGUGAUUGGGUAAAGAUGUUACGGGUGAUAUUUUGAGAUGGGUCACCGACUCACAGGCAAGAAACUGUGUCUGCAAGCAAAACUUGUCUGGAAUAACGUGACGUGUAUUAUACUUACCCUAACCUUUUCUCUUUUCGUUAAAAAUUGUCAAGUGGCUAAGGCUUUUUUUUUUUUAUCAUCUAUAUAUUAGAGUUUUAAAAAACAGUUUUGCAAAAUAGUUGAGUUGUGUAAUUAUUUCACCUCCACCCUUUGGCCUCUCUCGGUACAUUAUUAUGUAGAUGAGAGUAUUCGAUCGAAUCGAAUGAAAUUUUUUUUAAGUUAAUUAAGUUAACGAGUCUUAUUUUAUCAUUUUAACUUGAUUUAAAUUUUUUUAAAUUAAAUUGAAUAAAAUGAAAUUCGAGUCAAUUCGAAUAAAAUUAUUUGAGUUAAAUUAAAAAAUUAAACAUAUUAAAUUAAAAUCUUGUUAUACUAUAACUAACUUCAUAUUAUAGCACAUAAAUUUGAAACCAUAUAUAUUUGAAAAAAUUUUCAAAGCAAAAUAAAAAAAUUUACUUUAGUGCGAUAAACUUGAAUCAUUAAUUAACUUAUUUAUGUGCCAAAAUUAUUAUUCUAGAAAAUUUUUAAUUUUUUUAACUUUCUUUAUAUACUUUUUAGAACUUUUAGAAUUUUUUAUAAUUUUUAAGAAAUAUAAAUUUGUAAUUUAUAAAUAUUUUAAAAUUUUAAAAUUAUUUUGAAUUAUUUUGUAAUUUUUAUUGAGAGAGAGGUCAAUUUGCUUAUUUUAAAAUUGGCAAAGACCAAAAGGAUAUUUAUACCAAUAUGUUAUUCGAAUUAUUUGAGUUAUUUGAAUUGUAAAAUUCAACUCGAUUCGAACUCGAAACUCGAAUUACUUAUUUGAGUUGACUUGAAUAAUUUGAAUAACUCGAUUCAAUUAACUCAAAAUUCGAUUUUUUUUCGAAUCAAAUCGAAUUUUACUCACCCCUGUUAUUUUGCACAGCAUCACAAUAUAGAUUUUUCGGUUUUAGAAUAUCGCGAAUCCAUAUUCUUCUUCAUUGCUGUCGAGCUCAACCCUUCCACAAUCAUUAUCUAUACAUUAUCAUCAUACAUUAUAUGAAUCGCAGAAUAUAUUAUUGGAUUGUCAUAUAUAAUAAAUUUAUAUCUAUACAAUUUAAUCGAAGCUUCGAUUUUCAAUUGAUUUUACACUUCAUCUUCAGUAAUAUGAUAUCUUUUAUGAACAUCAUAUUAAUCAGACUCAAAUAUUACAUUGAUAUUUAUAUCACGAAUUUGAACAUUAUAAUUCACCACAACAAAGAACAUAUUGCCCAUUGUGUAUAAAAUUUUUGUAUAUAAUAUCAAUUUAAAUUAAAAAAAUUUAUCAAUAUAUAACUAAUAAAACAAUAAUAUCAUUCUCCCUAAUAUAAUAUCUUUAACUAUAACAUAAACAUAUUUCAUUUAAAAAAAACUAUGCUUAAUGUGAUACAUUGGAUUAUAAUAUUAUAUAAAUUAAAAUUUAUUAAAUUAUUUUUAUUUUUAAUAUUUUUAAGAAUAAUAUUGAGGGGAAAUUAAAUUAGAUUCUCAAAUAUGAAAUAAAAUAUAGGAUUUAUUUUCUAAAUAUAAGGACGCAAAUUUCAUAUAUAAAUGAUAUUAUAUAAUUAUAUUUUAUUAUAUAAAUCAUAAAAAUCCUAUUUCAAAUAAUUCUUUUUAGUUUCAUCAGUCAUUUGUUUUUAAGAUCAACAAAUUCAACGGCGUUUGUAAAAUAAAUUUUUGUACAAAUGAUUGUAAAAAGUUAGCUCAAUAAUCAAUUUUUAAAAUUUUUAUCAUAAUUUUAAUAGAUAUUAAAAUAAAAAGUAAAUAUUAAACAUAUAUAAAUUGCCAUUACAACUUACUACAAAGUAACUUAUAAAUAUAUUAUUUAUAUUUAAAAAUAAUAAAAUACAUAAAAAAAAUGGUUUGUAAUGAUAUUCCAAGAUUGACUUGCCAUUAAUUCUUCCCAAUUCAUUUUUAAUCUAAAAAUUGUCUUGGUAUAUUAACGAUAAUAGAAAUUUGUUAUAUGGGAAGAUUAAUUUAUUUAAUUACAUUUUUUGAGAAGUUAAGAGCAUAAUAUAAAAUAUUCUAUAUGCAUUAUAAAUUAUAACUGUGAUGGUAAAUAUUCUAUAUACAAUUAAAAUUACUUUAUUUCUUUAAAAAGAAUACUAGCAAUCGUUAAAAUGAAUUUUACUAAAUUGGAUGUAAUUGAAGCAUCACGAUUACACUUUUUGAUUUUUAAGGAGAGAGUGAGAAUGGAAAUAAUUACGCAAAUAAUCACAUCACAAUCUAAUUUUUAAAAAUUAUUUUUAUACAAGUUAUAAAAAACAUGAACAUGUAUGAGAGUUUGGGAUGAUUAUUACCAAAAUUUUCUUAUAUUAUAAAAAUAAUGGGUAUUUUUAAAGUUAUAACAAAAAAAAUAUUUAAAUCCUAAAAAAGUCUAAAAUUAUGAAAAAAAAAUGUUAUAAAAGUGUUAUAAUAUAUUUAUUUAUGAAAAGUUAUGGCUAAGAAGUAUAAAAAUAAUAUACUUAUUGGCAUAAUGAUUUUUUUGCCCCUCCAACUUUGUUAGAGUAUAAUGGUAACGACUCUGUUAUUGUAAGUUGUUAGUCUGUUAUUCAAAACUGUUAUGUUGUUAACAACAGUUACUAGCAACAACUAGCUCACAUAUUCUAUAAAUACUAGUGUUGUACAAUUCAAUGAAGAUAAUACAUAAAUAAUACAGAAUACCUUUUUCAAUACACAAUAUUGCUUUUACUUAGCUUACUGUAGAUAUUAACAUGGUAUCAAUCGCCUUGGUGCUGGAGACCUGAUCUUCGUUUGCUCCCAUGACUACCACUACUUCUAUUGACUCUGCCUCUGUCGAGCAUGGCUGUUCGGCGUCCACUGGUGUUCGGAUCGUUCAAUCCUUCCCUUGCCAUGACACUGUUAAAUUGGAUGAUGGAAAUUUCGUUCAAUGGCAGCAACAUAUUCGCCUGAUCAUUGAAGGUUACGAACUGACUGGUUUUUUGGAGGGCACGUUACCUGCUCCAUCGCGUUUUGUACAGUCGUCAGAGGGAUCUCUUGUUCCAAAUCCGGAUGCCUCGGCGUUCGUUCAACAUUAUAGGUUACUUGCCUCUUGGUUACUCUCCACUAUUAAUCCUUCACUAUUAUCCUCAUUUACAGAUGCUUGAACGGCGUGUGAUGUUUGGAAUACUUCCACUCGUCUCUUUGCAGCAGUCACGGGUGCAAAUUUAUCUCGCAUUUGUCACGAUCUAUACUCACUUAAGAAAGAUAACCUCUUAAUCAAAAAAUAUGUAGCAAAAAUUCAGAAUACCUGUGCCUUGAUCGAGGCUUCUGGCUUUCAGAUCUUAGAGGCAGAAAAGGUUAAGAUUGUCCUUACAGGUCUACCUCCGGAGUUUGAUGCUGUGCUUACCUUAGCAUCAUUCUCAUUUGAAACUCUACCAUUUCAACGUCUUGUUGACUUGUUAUUAGAAUAUGAGACGCGACAGAUGCAUGCAGUUCAAGAACUGUUGAUUCAUGCAAAUCUUGUGGAGUCUGUUCCGUUACCACCGAUGGUGGAUUCUGUUCAUGGUGGCCUCCUCCGUCCGGUGGUCGUGGCAAAGGAUUUCGUUCCUGCAUCCAAUGUCAUAUUUGCGGCCGAUUUGGGCAUUUAGCCUAGUGAUGUUAUUAUCGUUAUAAUCGCGAUUAUGAUGGACAACUGUCGGUGGCUCAGGCUUUAACUCCCGGUCGGUAGUCUGAGUCAGGUCUCGGCUGUUGGGUUUUUGUUUUCGUCGCAAACUCCUAGUGGGUUUGAUGGCCCUUCGACUACAGUGCCGUAUGGUUUCUUCUCUGGCAAAAAUUUUUGUGCUGCACCUCACAUGCCUAGGCUGUCCACUAGGGUUUCUAACCCCUUUGCAGUCUUUGAUGAUGGAUUUGGGCAUAAUGCCGCUAGGGCAAUGUUACAAUUUGGGCCUGGGCAUGAGUCUUCUCCUUUAGUGCCUAGGCAGGACUCAUAAUCUGGCAGUUUUGCUGCUGCUGCUAGGUUCGGGCCUGCUGCUACUAGGCCACAUGACUAUGGCUAUUAUCCUGGUCAGCCCGUGCGUGCCAGGUCAUCUAGCUCAAACUAGGAACUUGGGGGCACGUUUACUUUACUUGGGCCGCAGGCUACUAAUUUUCCAAAUGGGCCAACAUCCAAUUGUGUAAAGUUUUCUAAUUCUCUUGGACAUGGACGCGAGAUUGGGCCUUCCGGUGACGGUGAUUAUCAUGCGUCUAGGCCGUCUGUUCCUUGGCGGACCAAACUGAGGGCUCAUGUUUGCACUGAGUCUGAUCCGUGCAUUGGGCUCACUCGUCUACCCGAUUUACAUACGUCCGAUGUAUCUAAUUCUACUGAUCCUAAUAUUCACGCCACUCAAUUUAGGUCCAACCUUAAUGAUACUGGUUUCUAUAUCUCUAUACUCAUCAGAACUGCAUCCUGGUAUCCAAAUUCAAGGGCUACACACCAUGUAUGUCGCGAUGCCUUUGUGUUGAAUGACUCUACACCUUACUCAGGUACAUCCUCUCUAUUAAUGGGUGACGAGACUUCCACCAGGAUCUCGUCUGUUGGAAAUUCAGUGUUUCCUACAUAGAAUAAAUUACUUCGCUUAUCUAAUGUUUUAUGUGUACCGACUAUACAGAAGAAUCUACUGUCUGUAUAUCAGUUUGCCACUAGCAAUAACGUGUUUUUUGAAUUUCAUCUAACUUAUUGUGUUGUUAAGGACAUCAAGACUUAGAAAAUUUUGUUGAGGGGCCACAUUCGUGAUGGGUUCUAAUAUUUUUCUCCAUCGAUUGCGUCUGUUCCGUCUAUUGUGGCUCCUUCUAUUGCCAAUAUUGGACUUUAGACUCGGACUGCUAACUGUGAUAAUUUUUCUUUAUGGCACAAGUGUCUUGGUCAUCUCUCUGCUUCUGUUGUUAAAUCUGUUUUAGAUAAAUGUAAUAUUGCUUCCAAUAAAGUUUGUCUUGAUAAUGUUUAUACUACAUGCCAAAAAGGGAAGUCUCAUAAACUGCCUUUUCCAACCCCUACUACUGAAUAUACUGAUCCUUUUACUUUGGUGGUCUUCGACCUAUGGGGACCUACAUCAGUUGCCUGUAGACGUAAUCGGUAUUAUGUCUCGUUUAUUGACAUGUGCACUCACUUUACUUGGAUUUAUCUUAUUCGUUAAAAGUCUUAGGCGGUGGAUUGUUUUGUUUAGUUUCAACAAUUAAUCAAGACUCAAUUUGGUAAAAAAAUCAAACAAUUUCAGAGUGAUUGGGGAGGAGAGUUUUGCGCUUUCACGUCAGUGUUGGCGACUCAAGGGAUAAUUCAUAGACUGUCCUAUCUUCAUACGCCCGAACAGAAUGGGGUGGCUGAACGCAAUCGCCAGCAUAUUGUUGACAUGGGUAUUACAUUUUUGGCCCAAACAAAUCUUCCUAUAGAUUAUUAGAGCAAUGCAUUUUUUGUGCUAUUAUCUCAUCAAUCGUCUUUCUACCUCGGUUUUGAACGAACAAUCCCUGUACAAGGUUCUGCAUAGACAAGAUCCCACAUAUGAUCAUUUACGAAUGUUUAGGUGUUGUUGUUUUCCAUAUCUGCGUCCUUUUCUGCGUCACAAGUUGGAUUUUCGUUCUUAACCUUAUAUGUUUAUAGGAUAUAGUUCCCAACAUAAAGGGUAUCAAUGUCUCACAGCGGAUGGUAAGGUCGUUAUUUCUCAUCAUGUUGUGUUUGAUGAACACCAUUUUCUGUUUCCUACGUCUGUUACGGGAGGUUCCAGAUCUUCAUUAGGUCAAUCUCUCUCACCAACAUAUGUUCCUCUUGUUCAGCCUGUCUGCUCUUGACCCACGGAGUCCUCAUCCGCUCAACCUCUUGCGUUAACCUCACCUCUUGGUUUAUGUCCCUCUCUUUCUAACUCUAAAGUUCCUCAGGUUGUUUUGGGAUCUGUACAUGAGCUCUGUCCUCUCUCCUCUUUACCUGACAAUGACGGUGUACCCAAUCCAACCACGAUUGCUUCCAAUAUUCCAGUUUCUCCACUAUUUCGUCAGCUCUUUUGCACCUAACAAAUACUUAUCCGAUGGUUACUUGGUCUAAGGCUGGCGUUUUUAAGCCCAAGGCUCUGUCUGUUGAAUCUGUUGAGCCUCACACGAUUGAGGAAGCCAUUUUUACCACCAAAUGGCUUGCCGCUGCUCGGGCUGAGUAUGAUGCCCUCAUUCAUAACUCCACCUGGAACUUGUUUCGUUACUAAAUAAUUGUAAAGUGAUCUGAUGUAAAUGACUUUUCAAAGUAAAAAAAUCUUGAUGGCACGAUUGCAUGUCGUAAGGCUUAGUUAGUAAUUAAAGGAUGUUCUCAGGUACCUGGAUGCGAUUUCAAGGAAACAUUUAGUCCAGUAAUAAAACCUGCUACUAUUCGAAUCAUACUAUCUAUUGUUGUUUCCAAGGGUUGGCAACUUCGUCAGGUGGAUGUGAAUAAUGCCUUUUUAAAUGGUGAUCUUACUAAUGAAAUGUUUAUGCAUCAACCUCCAGGGUAUGUUCAAUAUGGUUCUAAUGGUAAACAUUUGGUCUAUCGUCUGAAGAAGGCUUUGUAUGGACUAUGUCAGACUCCGCGUGCUUGGUUUGAUAAAUUGAAGUGCUUUCUCCUUUCUGUUGGUUUUCUUCUAUUAAAGUCUGAUACAUAUUUGUUUAUUAAAGUUACGCCUAACUCCACUCUUUAUGUUCUUGUGUAUGUGGAUGAUAUUAUCAUUACUAAAAGCAUGUCUACCUGUAUAAAUAGCUUUGUUCAGUAGUUGAAUAAGGAGUUCUCACUUAAACAUAUGGGUGAUCUCCUUUAUUUUCUAGGGAUUAAGGUUACUCGUUUUGCCGAAGGGUGUCUUCAUCUAUGCUAACGAAAGCACAUUCGCGAUCUGCUAGAUAGGAGUUCCAUGACUCAUGCAAAGAGUGUUCAUAAUCCUAUGAUUACUUCGUCUCCUCUAUCCAAGGAUGAUGGGGAUCAUCUUCAUGACCCUACUGAAUACAGAAGUCUUGUAGGUGCUUUACAGUAUGUGGUCCUUACUCGACCUGAUAUUGCCUACGCGUUAAAUCGCAUAUGUUAGUUCAUGCAUGCGCCUACUGCUGUCCAUCUGGUUACAUUAAAAUGAAUCUUGUGGUAUUUAUGUGGUACCCUUGAUUAUGAGAUUGUUUUUCAUCAAUCUUCUCAACUUUUGUAACGCCUAAAAAUUUCUAAUUUCGUUAUUAUGAAAAUAUGACACAAAUAUCUAUCAACUUUAGUGGUUAUGUGUUCUGAAAGUGUCUGGGAGGUCCCAAGUUUGAGCCUUCGCUUGGGAAAAUUUUAGUAUUUUGAAUGAAUUAGGCCUUACUCUUGUUCAGUAGGCUUCUAUUUGAUUGUUGGGUAAAUUACAUCAGAAUGAAUUCAUGAGAAAGGUAUAAUAAACUUUGUGAGACAAGGUCAGAAUGAAUUUGGGUUCCCCUGUUCUGACUUUGAAAAAUCAUGAAAAUUGGAGAAAAAUAAUUGGGGGUUAAAAUUUACAUAUUUAAAUUAUUGUUGAGACUAUUUUCAAUAAAAACAAAUUGAAACAUCAUCCAAUUUUUUUACUAAGAGAUAAUUAAUUUUUAGCAAAGAAGGGACGAAGCUGUCAGACAGCAGAACAGGGGUAAGUUUGAAGAUUUUACUGUACUUAUUGGCAGAACAAAAAAUUUUAAAAAUUUUAUGGUAAGGUAUUUGAGUCUAGUUUCAAAACCAUCAAGUGGAUCUUAAUUCGGAAUUCUGUAGCUCAAUAUAUAAAUAAUUUAGUAACAGUGACUCAAGUAGACAACUUUGAAGGAACAUAUAAGUAAAUAGUGAAAACAUAUAUGAAUAAUUAACUAGCACGAGUUACAUUAAAAAUGGAUCAUGUGGCCAAGGCCAAUUUGGGCCGAGUGGGCCACAUGGGCGUGUGAGCCUAUUUUUCUAAAAAGUUCUGUAAGGUUGCACGGGUCGCCCAAGUCAACUAUGGACCUACUGAAGGGUCGGUAAGCUUUACUUAGACCCCUAUCUGUGUGAUCUGUGUGAUUUCUAUACCGAGCAUGACUUAUGAUAUCUGAAUGUAUGUACUAUUAAUUGCAUAAUGGCAUGACAUAUUUUGUAUGCUGCAUUGCAUCGGGGUAGGUUGAUGAUAUUUGGAGAAAGUGUCUGAAAGGCUAUUAAGUCUAUUAUCUGCAGCUCAGCUGCAACCUUAUGAUUAUGUGCCGCAUUUCGGUACAGCAUGGUGUGUAGGGAUGAGUGGGUUGAUUUAAUCCCCACAUGGUGUGUAGGGUUGGACGAAGAUGGUGUGUAGAGGCUGGUGGGUAGGAUUCUGAUUUACUGUAUCUGCAUUUUGUAUCUGAUAUAGGCCAAGGCCCUAAUGCAUUUCUAAGACUGUAUCUGAAUGGGUUAAGGCCCAAACUGAUUCUGUGAUGGACACAGGCCUCGGACUGUAUCUAACUGAAUUCUAUUGAUUAUUUGUAUGCAUGUUUUCUGUGGGGAUUACACAUUGAGUUUGCGAAAACUUACCCUUUCUUUGUUUAAUCUAUAUAGGUAAUCCCCAAACUUGACGGGUCGAUGCAGCGGAGGACUCAACGGUGGCCACACGUAAAUUUUAGACUAUUUUCCAUAAUUUCUAGAAUUUAUUACUUAUUUGAGGUUUUUGAUGUAUCUUCUAGACUAUGAACUGGAUGGCUUUAAAUUUGAGACUUUAUACUAUUUUUUAUGGAUUUUUUUUAAAAACUGCAACUCCACAAAACACGAUUUUUUUCCUAAAAAGCUAAGGUUCUUCGUAAGUAGAAACAAUUUUCCCUAAAUUAAUUGGUUACAAAAGCUUUCAAUAAGAGACAAGUUUUAAAGUAAAUCAACUAGUUUUUUUUUCGAAUUAAAUAAAAGCUAACUUACUGUAACGGUUUUUAAAUUCGACAAUAUUAUAUUUGAAUCUCUUUCCAUGUGACAUCGCCAGAUUCGACCAUAACAUCUAGGCCGGGUUUAGGGUGUUACAUUUAGUGGUAUCAAAGCCAGGUUGCAAUACUCAGCUGUGGAUUUGGGUUUUAAAACUUGGUUUUAAAGAGAUGAUUUUUAAAUGGUUUGAAAUAUUUUUGACUGAGUAUGUGGUACACUGAGUCUUCGGCGCCGAUUCUGUAAAUGUUCUAAAAACUUUGGUAAGUUUUUGAAAAUAUGAGUAGCAUGUUCUGAAACUACUAUAGGUAGUACACUGUACUAAGAACACUGUAGAUAGAAUAUACUAAAAACAGUAGCGAAACUGAAAACUAUAGUAAGUCUGCGAUUCGUGUUAACAAACUCUAAACUUCUGAUACUAUUUUGCAUAAAAUAUCUACUAAUAGAUAUCGAAACUGUAAUUGAUUCAUAAAACUGUUAACACAGAUAAGCUACGAAUUCUACGAUGAGUGCACGAGGUAUCCGCGGACGGGUACUAAAGGCCGAGGUAGAGGCUGUAGAGGGGCUCGAGCUGAGUCCCGGACCAUGAUCACCUCUAAUUGUGAGUCUAAAUAUUAUAAGGUCGGUGUUAAUUAUGCAAAUAAAAAAAUUUCUUGCAAUAUAUUGUGGUGUAUGAUACCAUUUGAGAAAAUAGUGUUAAACACAAGCACAAUAAAACUUUGAUUUGAAACAUUUAAGGCUUCAAAAUGCGGUUGAGAAGGUAUUUGUUGUUCUGAAAACAUAUUUAUCAUAUUAACAACAUCACUUUUGUAUAACAUAUAAAAAAAAAGUUGGAUCGUACUAGCAUGUUGCAUAUUUCACAAUUUUAAUCAUAGGUGGAAUUGAGAUAAUUUAUAUUUCAAAAAGUACAUGGAAGAAGAACAUCUUGAUAAUCUUAAAGAUACAAAUUCAAAUGAUGAUUAACUCAAUUAAAGAGAAAAGACCAACAUAUGAUAAUAAGGUGCAUAUUUUAAAUACUAAAGAGGGAAUAACCCAAUAAAUAUGAACUAGAACAAUUAAAAAAAUUGUAUAUGGUUUAUUUUUCUUGUUUUUUUUUAGUAAUCGUAUUAUCAAUUACAUUUUUAGACUAACACAAUGCAUAUGAUUAUUUUAUUUUAAUUUUUGUUACUUAUUUAUAAAUUAUUUUUAUCAUACUAAUAAAUUUUUAUAGUAAUUAAUAUUUUUUAAAUGAAAUUUAUGUAACUGUGUAAUUACAAUUUGUACUACCAAACAUGACAUAGGAAAUUACGAUAUAAUUACUCUCUGUUAACUAAAUACGUCUAGGAAAUUACAAUUUUCUUAUAAUUACAAAAGAGAGUAAUUACUAUCCUAAUAAUUACAUUUUCAUUCAAUUAUUUUGUGCUAUCCAAACAAACCCACAUGUUUAGCUUAAGUACUCACAUGCACAUACAUACGCCAUAUUUCAUACAUAAAUCAUUUAAUGAUAAUUUGACAACUUGAGAUUAUGAAAUGUAAAAGUGAACACUAUCACCAUACAUUGGAUACACGGAUCUCCAUCACACCAAUAACUCAAAGAGUCUAACAUGUCCCAUAAGUGUAGUAUAAUGCCAAACACUCCCUAACACACCAACAUGUCCAAAUGAAUGGAGCUUAGCUCCACAUUCCCUUAUCUCUCCAACUUGUCCUAGGGCUUCAAUGCCCAAAUCACAAAAUACAAAGGUGAGUGCUCACAAUCCUAUCGCAUGCCAACUAUAUCAAAUGAUUUUAAGAGAUCACAAGGCCAAAACAUCCACAAUUACACAUAUUUAAUUACUACUUUAGUGCACAUUGUCUCUAUUUAUAUUCGUCAAUUUACAUCACAAACUUGUACACAAUGCAUACUUAUCGAAUUCACAUUUAUUUGCGUUUUAAGUGUCACAACAAUGCUCCUUGAGCCAUCAUAUAUCAGACCACAUUUGUGUGCACUAAAAUCAAUUUAUCGCAUCCAAAUAUUCACCCACAUUACCUAUCAUAAGAACCUCACGUUCCUCAACUCGACAUACAUUAAGUAAAGUUUUACAUUAAGGAAAAAAGUAUAAAGAAGGCUUACACUCAGAACUUAGGAUAGGAUUUUAGGCUAUUCCUAAGUUCCCGAUUAACUCUACGAAUCGUGCAUACUAGCAGUGACUUCGGACACUCACCAAUCACGCUUCCGCUUAUUAGUCGAAAGCUCAAACUAGGUUUUCUUUACCUUUUGCCUUGCUCGUAGAGGGCUCCAACGAUUUUGAAACUUUUAACUAGUUUAGCCAAAACUCAAAUUUCUUAAUCUAGACCUGUUCCUAUUGCUUAAAAUCGAUUCCAAACACCUAGUUAUUCAUUUAAGAGUAGAUCUCAACCUUUAAAACACCCAGAAUUUUCAGAUUUAUGUUUCUGAAAAAUUUCAACGUUCAUGACUACUUUGAACGAAAAAUCAUUAAAUCCUUCAAAUCUCUUAAUGAUUGAUUAAAGUAAGUUUAAAAACCUUCUAAUCUCAUCAAAACAAGUCAAAAAACACCUAGAAAAAACAAUUUAAUUGGAAAACCUGAAUUUCACCAUUAAAGAUCCCAAUUUUGACUAAAACAUGAAAUUCUCUUGGCACGAAUCAAAAAUUGAUUUGAGUAGCUAAAAUAUAUCAAAACUUAGUAAGGAAACAAAAAUUUAAUUUAAUCAAGAAGAAGAAUGAAUGAAUGAAAGGUUGAUUUCCAGAAAAUUCCUUUGGAAAUCGAAUGAGAAAAUUGAUAAUAUUUUUGGGGGGUUUUGUUAAAAAUUCAGAGAGAUUUCAGAGUUUUGGAGAUGAGAAAAUCACAAAGGUUAAGCCAAUUUGAGAGAAAAUUAGGGAUUUGGGUUUAAGAGAAAUUUUAUUUUGAAUGUUGCAAAAGAUAAGGAGAUGUGAGUGGCUGCAAUUUGAAACCCAAUUUACAAAAAUUGGGCAAUUUGCCUUUUUGGUCACUCCUAGUGUAACACCCCUAACCCAUAUCCUUUGCCAAAACAAGGUUACGGAGCGUUACCAGAGUUUACAGAUUAUAUAACAUACAUUUCAUAUCAUUUAGCAUUCAUAUUAGAAAUCAAUCAAAAUUGAUCAUAUUGUCCCUUAUGUGAGCCCUCGAGGCCUAAAAUAGACAUUAGAAACAUGUCGGGACUAAACUAGGUACUCAGAGAAUUUUUCAGAAAAUAUUACAAUUUUUCAAAGGUGUAGGGGACACACGCUCGUGUGGUCAGGUCCUGUGACUCACACGGUUAAGAGACACGCCCAUGUCUUAGGCUGUGUAGGCAUUCGAAAUAAAGACACACGACUGUGUCCCAGCCCAUGUCCAAACUUAGGAGAUCUCUGACUUGGGUCACACGGCCAAGACACACGCUUGUGUGCUAGGCAGUGUGAGAAUUUUGUUUUGCAAUUUUAAAGAUGCAGGGGACACAAGCCCGUGUCUCUACCCGUGUAGACAAAAAUAGACCAUUUUCCAAGCCAUAUUUUUUACCCCAAUUGUCAUCAACCUAACUUACAUUUUUACACAAUAAUAAGACAUAACAAGGCAUUCAAAUCAAGCCAAAACCAAGUCUUCUACAUAACAUAUCACCACAUAUAUCUAAGUAUCCAUACUUACCAAAUUAACCAAAUACACAUAUAUGCAUAUUUGUACCAAAUAUACUAUCUCAAAAAAAUCAUCAAUAUGCCUAUAUGAUUUCCAUCAUUCAACCAUAUCACACACACAUCAAACAUGUUAAGGCCAUAUAUAUACAUAUCAAAAUGUAUCAACCAGCCAUUCAAAUGGCUAAUCACAACAAAACAUUUGCAUGCCAUCAUUGGCCAAGUUAACCUAUACGUGUCAUUAUAACCAAAAUUGAUUUACUAAAUAUACCGAAAAGGGCCGAUGGAUAGUGUGAAGUUGCUCUGACCAGCUUCCAACCAAAAUGAGCUUCCGAAUUACUAUAAAACAGGGAAAAUAAAACAGAGUAAACAUUUAAUACUUAGUAAGUUUGUAUAACAUGAAAUUUAACUUACCAUUUAAUCACAAUUAAGGUAAGCAUUCAAGGCAUAUUCCAACCAAAUUGGCCAAAAGCCCUAACACAUAUCCUCAUCAUGUUAGCCAAGUAAUCACAUAUAAUAACCCUUAAUCAUGGAUGAACAAGAUCUUCAAGCAAGUUCCACAUUCAAGGGCUUUUACGAUUUUGUCCCUAGGCUCAAAAAAUGAAAUUCAUACAAUUUAAUCCUUAUUUCAAGCCUAGCUGACUUUCAUAUAUAACAACAGUAGCCCAUGAAUUUCAUAAAAUUUAGAAUUUUUCCAUGAAUUUAUAAUAUUUUCAAUUUGGUCCCUAAAUCAUAAUUUCAUCAAAAUUCACUUUACAGAAGUUAUUUAGCUAUCAACAACCUUUCAUUUUCUACCAUAAAAUUUCAUAAUUAAACUAUACUCAUCCAUGGGAAAACCCUAACACUUUAAUAGUUUUAAAAUUAAUACCCAAGAUAGCUAGAUUAAGCUAUUACGAUUUCGAAAACAUAAAAAUCAUUAAAAACGGGACCAAAAUACUUACGUAAUUAAGCAAAAUAAGCUUGCUUGAGCUCAACUCUCAUGGCUAGGGUUUCCAUGUUUUAUUUUAGGAAAGAUGAUGAAAAUGAUAUUAAUUUAAUUAAUUAUUUCAUUUACCAUCAUUAUUUUAUCAUCUUUCCAAAAUUAACCCUAAUUCUUUAUUCAAUUUCUAAUGAUGAAUAAUCAUCCUUAUCUGCUAACUCUUCUAAAUGGUCUAUUUUUCAUAUAAGGACUUCAAAAUUUAAAUUCCAUAGCUAUUUGAUACCUUUAGCUACUAGAAUUCAACUUUUGCACUUUAUGCAAUUUGACCCUCUUUAUCAAAUUAGACAUGUAAACGAUAAAAUUUCUUAACAAAAUUUUGAUAUGAUAUUUCUAUCAUACUGUAGACCAUAAAAUAAUAUUAAAAUAAAUUUUAUUUCGACCUCAGAUUUGUGGCCCCUAAACCACUGUUCCGAUUUCACUGAAAACGGGCUGUUACACCUAGCUUUUCCCUUUUUCUAAUUAGACCUCAAAAUUGAAAUUUUUUUUUAGCUAACAAAUAAAUUAAGAACUUGAUUAUGAAACUCACAUACUUAAAUUACUCACUUACGACCUUAUUUUCCUUUAUCUGACACAACCUCCAGCUAAAAAACUCGAUUCUUCUAACCCGUUCUUCAGAGUGUGACAGCUCUUCCCCUCUAAAAAGAAUUUUGUCCUCGAAAUUUUCCUGAUGACACAUCAUUCGCUUAAUCACAAAACCUGUUAUGUUUUCCUUUAAAACAACCACCACGCUUUCGCUGCACAACUCAGAUUUCUUUUUAACUUUUUAGGGUUUUUUAUGAAGAUCCUAUUCACUACCACGGACUGUCUUUCGGUGACUUCACUAUUAGUUUCCUUUAUUCUCUAUGAUACUCUCAUUUGAAGAACUCGUAAUCAUAGUUCCUAAUUUAAUAGCCUUUAUCUGGAUUCUUUGCUUAUUAGUUAAAUUGCUAAAAAUUUACAAAGGCAUAGAUCCUAAAUCUACCAAUGAGAAUAAAUGGAUUGAUUACAAGGAAAAAAUACCCGCAAUCUCGUUGAUAGAAUCCUAAUCUUGUGACUUCCUAAUAGCAUACAUGCGAGCUGGUCCUUCGGUCUCCACCUGAGUAGUAACGAUAUGAGCAGCAUCCCACAGCCCAACCGGUCCCACAUUACCACCUCUACCUCUGCCACGACCUUGAGCAUGCACAGGUACAGGUGCAAAACUCCGAGUCUACGAAACCUCAACUCUAUUUGGACAAUCCCUCACCAAGUGUUCUUUAGAGCCACACUUGAGACAUCCUCUUGUCAAUUUUCGGCACUCUUCAGAAUGUCUACGCUCAUAAUGUCCACAAUAUGGCCAUCCAAAUUCUCUUGACAACCCACCAGUGCUAACCACCACACUGCUCUACUGCUUAGAUUGACUUGGUAUAAACUUGUGUCAUGCACUCCUAUCAAAACCCUAAAUAUCAUGGCCUCUCUUAGACGGUCGUCUAGAUCUUUUAGAACUAUUAAAGGUUCUUUUCCCUGAUUCAGUCACCACUGAGCACGAUGGCUCAGCUAAAGUUUCCUCAAUAGCUUUGGAUUUCUCAACCAUCUCAUCGAACAACUCAAUAUUUUAAGCUACCGAAUAAACUCUAAUCUCCUGAUUAAGCCCAAAACAAAACCACUAGUAUCAGUCUUUCUUAGUAAGUACCAUCUCAAGAACAUACUGGUUGAGUCACACAAAUUUCGGUUCGUACUCAGCCACAGUCAAACUACCUUGAACCAGGUCUAUAAAUUCAAGGUUACGGGCUUCCAAGUACUGCUCACCCGUAAACUUCCUUUUAAACACUUCUAAAAAAUAAUCUUAAGUCAAACAGUCUGCAAUAGUACCUCUCUUCAAUGUAUUCCACCAACGGUGGGUUACUCUGUCGAGUAGGGACAUAGUACAUCCCAACUUCUCCUCGCCAAUAGUGGACAUGUGAUCGAGGAUCCUCUCCACACUUUCAAGCUAGUAUUCCACUAUAGUUGGAUCAACUCCCUUUAAUUGAAUAAAUUAUCGCUUAUUGCCCGCAGACAUUCAAGUGGCAGUCCCCGAUUGGAAGGAGCAGGGUUGGCAUCUACAAUCCUCUGAAAUACCCCAAUCAGGGCUUGCAUCAGAAGGCCAACACUCUCAUCUGGUACAUUUACUCUAUGAGGCAUCACAAGAGGUGCAGAGGAUGUACUAUCCUCUUGAGCGUUCCCAUUCACAUUAACACGUCUACGAGGCAUAUUGUAUCUACUCUAACAAACACAAUCAACCAAGAGUGUGAGUGGCGGGAAAUGAUCCAAGGCAUGUUCCUGAAAGGAAACAUUUAAAUAAAGGAAAUGUGUUCCCAAUCCUACCCCCCAAAAAAACAAUUUCAUAAUAACUUCAACAGAGAUAUUCAAGUCAAACAGUUUAAGUAAUAUGAAAAUCUAGGUACAUGGGUUACACCCUAGUCCCGAAUACUGACAAACUUAGGUCUAACUCUUAGAAAACCUAGGCUCUGAUACCACCAAACGUAACACCCCUCAUCUGGCCUGGUCGUCAAACCCUAGUAAUAGGAUGCUACAAUCGCUAUUGAAACUUAGGCUCCGUUUGUUUCACUGAAAAUAGCUUUUGGAAAAUGAUUUCUGGAAAAUAACUUACUUUUCUAGAAAAGCUAAUAUUUUCUGGUGUUUGGAUGAAUCUGUAUAAAAUAUUUUCUUUUGUUUGGCAGGUUCUUUAAAAAUAUUUCAUAAAAGUCGUUUUCAAUUAAACAAACAUACAUUUGAGAUUUUUUUUAUUUCAUUUUCUAAUUGAGUUUAUUUUAUAUCUAUAAUUUUAUAUUUUACAUUGUUUUUACAUAUAUUAAAAAUAUUUUGUUAAAUUUAGGUUCAUUGCAACGAUUAUUUUUAGUUACAUGACUACCAACUGAGUAUUUUUNNNNNNNNNNNNNNNNNNNNNNNNNNNNNNNNNNNNNNNNNNNNNNNNNNNNNNNNNNNNNNNNNNNNNNNNNNNNNNNNNNNNNNNNNNNNNNNNNNNNNNNNNNNNNNNNNNNNNNNNNNNNNNNNNNNNNNNNNNNNNNNNNNNNNNNNNNNNNNNNUAUUUUAACAUUUAUACUACAAAAUAUUUAUUAUUAAUAUAUUUAUAAUUGUAAUAAAUAUUUAGUAUUAAAAUAUUAAUAUUGGUAUUUUUUCAAGUGAAUAAUAUUAUUUAAAAUUAUUAUUUUUAAAAUUUACUAUUAAAAUAAAAUUUAAAUAUUAAAUAAAUUAUUAAAAAUAAUAAAUUAUAUUAAUAAUUUAUUAUAUGACUAAAUAUAAAUAAUUAAAUACGUAUUUUUAAUAAUACUAAAAAAUAUAACAGUUUCUAUUAAUAUUUUAAAUAUUUUAAAUAUUUUAAAAAUAAAAAUAAAAAUUAUUAUCAAUAUAAUAAUAUUAAACUUGAUUUAAGUUAAUUUUUAUAUAAAAGUAAAAUUAUCUAUUGAAAAGCUCUUUUCCGGAAAAUGACUUACGCUUUUCAAAAAGGUAAGCCAUUUUACAAGGAAAAAGGCUUAUUUUUCGUUGACUUGUAAGUCAUUUUCCGUUGACGAAGCUGUUUUCUGUGAAACAAACACAGGAAAAUGCAGAAAAUAUUUUCCGUAAAACCUUUUAUAUGUAAAUAAACGGACCCUUAUACACAUGCACAGAUAGCUUCAAAUAAGAACAACAACUACUACAUUCAAUAAUAAAAAAGGGCGGUCCUGACUAGUUAAACAUUAUACGACACUAGAAACAAUUUUAUCCGUAAAUAGGGUCCAUUUUUUUAAAAGUCUUAAAGAAAACAAUGUAGGUAUCGAUACAAAAUAGUAGGUAUUGAUAUAUAGUAAAUUAGGUAUUGAUACUGAUGUAAAAAUUGAUACAUUUUUAGCUCUCUGUCAAAAUUUUUUUAAACCAUUUUAUCGAUACUUUGGCAAGAGUAUUGAUAUUUCAAGAAAUACUCGUGGUUGGGUAUCGAUACAAAAUUGGGUUAUUGUUAAUUUUUAAAAACAUCCCAACCUCAUGGUAUCGAUAAUUGUGUCCUGAGUAUUCAAUAAUGCCUUUAUUCAAAGUGUUCAAAAAUUAUAAAACCACCUAUUCAAAAGUUUAUUUCCUUGCUAAGAUCACUUCCUUGGCCACACCAUUCACACCGAAAGUGCUACUUAUCUGCAAAAUUUUAAUGUGAAGUGUGUGAGCUUAAACAAGCUCAGUGAAUGUUCAAAAUUACCACAAGCAUACAUAACGUCAUAUGUUAAGCAAGAGCAUACUACGACACAUUCACAUUCAUAUUUCAUUAAAUCAAAAUAUCAUAUUCAUGCUACAUUAUCUCACAUGUUUAGCUUAAGUACUUACAUGCACAUACAUAUGACAUAUUUCAUACAUAAAUCAUUUAAUGAUAAUUUGACAACUGGAGAUUAUGAAACGUAAAACUAGAGUCUAUCACCGCACAUUGGAUACAUAAAUUUCCAUCCCACCAAUGACUCAAAAACUCUAACAUGUCCCAUAAGUGUAGCAUGUUGCUAAACACUCUCCAACAUACCAGCAUGUCCCAAUGAAUGGAGCUUAGCUCGACAUUCCCUUAUCUCUCCAUCUAUGGCAUGCCAACUAUAUCCAACGGUUUCAAGAGAUCACAAGGCAAAAAUAUCCACAAUUACACAUAUUUAAUUAUUGUAUUAAUGCACAUCAUCUCUAUUCAUAUUCAUCAAUUUACACCACAAACUUGUACACAAUGCAUGCUUACUGAAUUCACAUUUAUUUGCACUUUAAGUGCCACAACAAUGCUAAUUGAGCCAUCACAUAUCAGACUACAUUUGUAUGCAUUAAAAUCAAUUUAUUGCAUCCAAAUAUUCAUACACAUUACUUGUCAUAAGAACCUCACAUUCCUUAACUCGACAUAUAUUAAGCAAAGUUUUAUAUCAAGGCAAAAGUAUAAAGAAGGCAUACACUCGGAACAUAGGAUAGGAGUUUAGGCAAUUCCUAAGCUCCCGAUUAAUGCUACGGAUUGUGCAUACCAACAGUGACUCAAGACACUCACCAAUCACGUUUCCACUUAUUAGUCAAAAGCUCAAACCUAGCUUUUCCUUACCUUUCGCCUUCCUCGUAGAGGGCUCCAAUGAUUCUGAAACUUAACAAACAUUAACCACACACUAUGUAAAAACAAUUAAUAGCCAUAAACUCACUAUAAAUCAAACAUUAACGUAGAUUCUACCUAACUCCUCUUUAAACCAAAAAUUUUGACUAGUUUAGCCAGAACUCAGAUUUCUUAAUUUAGACUUGUUCCUAUUGCUUAAAAUCGAUUCCAAACACCUAGUUAUUCAUUUAAGAGCAUAUCUCAAACUUUAAACUACCCAUAAUUUUUAGAUUUAUGUUUCUGAAAAUUUUCGACAUUCAUGAGUACUUUGAACAAAAAAUCAUUAAAUCCUUCAAAUAUUUUAACGAUUGAUUAAAGCAAGUUUAAAAACCUUCUAAUCUCAUCAAGAAAAGUCAAAAAACACCUACAAACAACAUUUCAAUUGGAAAACCCAGAUUUAGCCAUUAAAGACCCUAAUUUUGACUAAAACAUGAAAUUCUCUUUAAACAAAUCAAACUUGAUUUGAGUAGCUAGAAUAUAUCAAAGUUUAAUAAGGAAACAAAAAUUUACCUCUAUCAAGAAGAAGAAUGAACGAAAGUUUGAUUGUCAAAAAAUUCAUUUGGAAAUCGAAUAAGGAAAUUGAUAAUCUUUUUGGGGGUUUUCUUAAAAAUUUAGGAGAGAUUUUAGAGUGGGAGAUGAGAAAAUCGCGAAGAUUAAGUCAAUUAGGGAGAAAAUAGGGGAUUUUGGUUUAAGAUAAUUUGUUGUUUUGAAUGAUGGAAAAAGAUGAGGGGAAGACGUGAGUGGCUGCUAUUUGAAAGCCAAUUUACAAAAAUUGGGCAAUUUGCCCUUUUGGUCACUCCUAACUUUUUCUUUUUUCCAAUUAGGCUCGAAAUAAAUUGAAAUCCAUUUUUUUCAAAUUAGACGUCAAAUUUGAAUUUUGUUUUGAGCUAACAAAUAAAGUAAGAACAUGAUUAUGAAACUCACAUACUUAAGUUACUCACUUACGACCCUAUUUUCUAUUAUCUGACACAACCUCUGAUUAAAAGACCUGAUUCUUCUAGCCCAUUCUUCAGGGUGUGACAUGGAUAUAACAUUAAAAUAUUUAGGAUAAGUUCUCAAAUUAACAUUAUAUGGGGAGAGUAUUACUAUAAGAACUUGUUAGAAACCUUUUUCAACUUUUCGUGCUAUAAAUGUGCUCCUACAGUAGCAAUACCGUGAUAAAAUGUUGUUUAAUUGUGAUUGAAUAAAAUAACAAGUUAUUAAAUAAAGAAAAAAAACAUUAAGUCUGUCUUACUAGAUCUACUCCAUUCCCUGAAGUGAAUGUAGCAAUAUAUAACAAAUUCAAAGGAUAUAAUCGUGGACAUGGUAGGUGGAACUGUAAUAAUCGUCAAAUGGGUAGUCAUAAUAAUUUUUCUUACCACCAAAAGUGGAAAGUGAAGAUAAUGUUGAAACUGAUAAUAAGAUUUGCGUUGGAAUUCAAAUGAAUAGUUUCAUCCUAUAUUCCAACUUUUAAUUAUUGUGCAUUUAUGGUAUGCUUCUAUGCUUUGCUUAAUUUUGCACAUAUAUCUAUACAAAUUAAAUAUGUGUUUGUGUGUAUUUUGUAAAUUGAUAAAAUUUAUUUGCAACAAAUGCAUGUAGCUUUGGCUUUGAUUUUAUUUUAUUGAGACUAAUGUUCUAUAUUUGGAUGUUUCAAAGAUGACAUUUAUAACCAACUCUAGACUUAUUAAUUUAGUGUUUUCUUCAAUACAAUUCUAGUAUAUUUGUUUGCAUGGUUAAAUCACAUGUGAUGGUAAAUCAAAAGUAUACAUUAGUAUUGUUGAAUCAUGUGCAUAGUAAACAAGAAGUUUACUAGUCCAAAUAUGAUCAUUAGUUGGCAUGAUUAGUUAGACCAUCUUGACCAAUAAUGAUGCAACAAGAUAAGAAUUUACAUGAAUAUCUAUUAAAGAACCUGGAGAUUCUUCAUUUAUCAAGUGUUGCUUGUUCUAAUUUUUUUUAUUAAACCUCACUAGCAAAAGUUGAUAUUGAAUCUUUUACAUUUCUGAAAGAAAUAUGGGCUCAUUUAUCCAAGAAGUGAAUAUUUUGAUAUAAUUUUGGUAGAUGCAUUUGCAAGUUAAUUACAUGUGAGUUAUCACUCGCAACUUGUAGUUUAUGAUAUUACUUAUUUAAUGAUUUGUUUAUGAACAAAACUUUCAGAUUAUGCAAUUGGUACAAGUCUGGCUAAUGUUGGUGACUUUAUUACUCAUACUUUCAAUGACUAUUAUAUGCUAGAUUAUUAGUGCGAGUAACUUGCAAAAGCCUAUUGUUUAUACGAAUGAAAUAGUUUAGCAAAAUUAAUGAUUAAAUGCCUUAAGUUAAUAGCUAAACCAUUAUUGUUGAGAAUUUUUUUUGUAUAUAAGGAUAUGAUAUUUUAUAUCAAUCUACACUUGUACGCAUCAUGCCAAUACAUUUUGAUAAAUCCUUUUCAUUACAAUUGGCUUUUUAAUUUUCAAAUACAUCCCAUUUUAGAAUUUUUGAAUGUGUGAUAUAUGUUUAAGUUGCUCCACCACAAUGCACAAAAUGGAUAUUCAAAUAAUGUUUGGAAUAUAUACUAAUUAUGAAUCUCUUAUUAUUAUAUGUUUUGAUCGGAUUGGAGAUUCAAUUAUGAUAUGAUUUGAUGAUUAGGACUUUAAUUUAACAAGUUUUCCCAACAUCAGGGGGAAAAAUGGUAAUAGCUAGAUGAAAUGAUUAAAUAGAAUGAAUUAUCAUUAUCUAGAUCCUCGUAGAAAGUAAUUUGAAUUAGAAAUUCAAAAAGAUAAUUCACUUUAGUACAACUUAACUGCCAAAUGCACCUAUUAACUUGAUGAGAAUAACCAAGUGUUACAUACCAGCUAAUGUUUUGAUUUGAACUGAAGUUCCAGUAGGAAAAGUUACUAGACUAAUUAAAGGUAAUACAUGCCUGAGUCAUGGUUGUUUGAUAGAUGAUAAUUCUUGUAAAAGAAAAGAAUAAAUCUAAAUGAUCAUAUAGUGGAGGUAGGUGCUCUUGAAGAGGCCUAAGACAUAACUAAUUAUUAAAAAUCUCAAAGGGAUUCACGUACUUAAAAAUGAUAAAAAAUGAAAAUAAAGAGAUCUUGAUAAGUUAUGUCAAUACAAGAAAAUAUGGAACCAUGAAAUAGAAAUUUUUUUUACAACGAUUUUGCAUGCAAUAGUAUUAUUGAGAUAAAAAAAGAAAAUGAUAGUUUUGAAUAAAUUUGUCAAGAAAUAUAUAUAUGGAAUAGAUUGAUCAAAAUAGAAAGACGUAACUCAAGUACAAUUAAAUUUGUAAAGGUUUUGGACCCAUAGUCUAUAUAGCUAAAGGCAUAAAGCCAGUAAGGGUACAAAUGAAGUAGUUUUACAAAAACGAAAUAAGAAAUGUGAAGCUUUUCGCUAAGUCCUGGCAUUGAUUAUGAAAAGAUAUAAUCUUAUUUUGUGGUGGAUGCAAUAAUCUUUAAAUAUAUUAUUAAACUGGUAGUUCAUGAAAGAUUUAACAUGCGUCUAAUGUGUAACAACCCGAAAGUCAAUGGUGCUGAAAACUCUAAUUUUGGGACUCCAUUUUCGUAAACUAAAUAUUUACAAAGUUAUUUUAGAAGUGAAUUAAAUUUUGAAUAAGAAAUUUUACUAAAUUAGUGAAUAAUUUAAGUAUAAGGGCUAAAUUGUAAAAGUGGUUAAAUUUAAAAUUGCCAAAGAAGCAGUAAUUAAAAGUAAGGAACAAGGAUCAAGUUAGCAAUUAGACCAUGAUCAUUAAUAAGGGUUGUGGACAGUGGCAAGCUAUAUGAUUUAUGGAAGGGAUAAAAGGGUAAUUUAAUAAAUAAUGGUAAAAUGAAUUAAAUCUUAACAAAUAAACUUAGUGGAUCGAAAGUGUCACACUCGGUUUUCACUUAUGCCCCAAAAUUAAAGGAAAGUUAGGAGUUAUUUGAAUAGAAUGAUAAGAAGGCAAGAUUUACUGGAAAUUUUAGGAAUUUUGUGACUGAUUGGUAAAUAGUUAAGUUUCCAUUCUCGUUCAGUUAAAAGAGAAAUAGCUGGUCCCUUAGUGGGAGACACAAUAAUUAUUGGUGAGUGGUUAAUUGGGGCUUUGAUGACCAUGAGAAAAGGGUUAUAUAUAGGGGAGAAGCCUUACUCAAUAGAUGAAUUCUUCUCAAUUUUGAUUGUAUUUCCUUCUCAUUUGCAUCAUCUUCUUCGGUUGCUUCGAAGAAGGGAGAGUUAAGAAAAACGUUGUGUGGGGUGGUGAUCGUGAGGUCUAAGGUCAAGAAAAAUAAAAUCCAAUAAGUUGGUAAGCUCCUAAUUCCCUCUAUGUCCAUAAUUAGAGGAAAAAGAAGUAAUAAUCCCUAAAAAGCUCCUAUAUAGAAAUUUGAUUCAAGGUUUAAAGUUAGAAUUCUUUUGAUUUAACUGAUAUACGGUUGUCGUGCUUAGUGUCCAAGAUGAUGGAGGCUCUAGCAUUUGGAAAAGCUAAGCUGGCAAGGAUAAAAAAGUUUAGGUGGGUUUCUAUGCUCCAUCUUUGGGUGAUUGAUAACAUUGAACUGCUUGAAUGAUAUGUGUCUAUGUCUGUUCUGUGAUGUCUGAAUCCGUGGUUGCGUAUGAACAUGGUGAAUGAGUAUGUUGUGUAUGCAUAAUGAUGCGUAAGAGUGAGUAUCCUUGCAAGUAUGUAUAUUGUAUGUUAAUUAGUUGUGAGUUGAUAUAUUAAUGGACGACAUACUGUAUGCUAUAGAAAUAAAUACAAUUAAUUACGUGAAAUGCAUAUAUGUUAUAUAAUACAGAGUAAUGAGGGAGAUGCCUUGACGGGGUAGAUGAAGAUAGGAAAAGUUGGCGUAAUAGAGAAACGAACGAAUAGUUAGGGGACCUGAGGGAGUUGGGCGGCAUCGUGGAAUGGUUAUCUACUUGGUCGCCAGAGCGACACCGUGAUGACGAUCUAUCAACUCUAUGGAGCAACACCGUGAUAGUGGUUAUCGAUUGGUCCUUCGAGGUGACACCUCAAAAAAGGUUUACUAAUUCUUCGGAGUCAUAGGUGCAUGGCACCAUAAUGUGUAAGACCAUAGUUGGGCUAUGGUAACAUAUAAAGUCUACUAAGACAGUAAACAUGGGACCAUAGUGUGUAAGAUCAUAGUUGGGCUAUGGCAACAUAUGAAGUCCACCAGGAUAGUAAACAUGAGAUCAUAAUGUGUAAGACCAUAGCAGGGCUAUGGCCACAUAUGAAGUUCGUAAGUACAAAGAACUAGGAAGCCCACCAGGGCAUAAAAUGGGGUAGUCAUCGUAUAACUUUAGUGGCAAGUAGUAAGACUGAAUGAUCAUAGCGUGACUGAGAAGACUAGCAAAUGGGAUAACAAGAGGAUCCACCAAAAUUCGAAGGUAGGUAGAAGUGUCUGAGAAUGCGGGUAAGCUUGUUGAUAAGGGGAUCUGCCAAAUUAUGACGGUAAGAGGAAUUGGUGGAAGCAGUUUUAACGUGGCUGAUGUUAUGAAAAUGAUAUAUUCUUCGAGGUAUCUAAGUAUUCUCCACUAUGAGUUCACCAAUGUUUGGUGAGUAAACUAGUAUUGGGUAUGAUAGUGAGCCGAACAAGUGGAUUUUAAAUCCUAAGGGUCUUCUAGUAAGAGGAAGCCAGAGACAGGUAAGUUCGCCAAGGAUUUUAUCAAGAGUGGGAGGUUUACCAAUAAUUUUCUUUGGUGGAGAGGUCACCAGGAUUUAUCUAAAGAAGACUGUACCUAUCAGGUCUAUUUGGUAUGAGGAGUCUACGUGGGACUGUCCGUAGUGGAAAAUCCGCCAAAGGGAAACCUGAGAAAGACAUAGUCUUAGCAAAAAUGUUCUGAAAAGGAAAUAUCCUACGGGGUUAUCCUGCGGACAAGUCUGUAAGGAAAGGGUGUUCAACAAGCAGCCAAAUGUCAUAUACGAGACUACAAGUGAAGAUGUUGAAAUUGGGUUUCCUUAGGGAAGGGUCUAUUCUAGGGCUAAGUCGAAGGAAGAUAGUUUCCGGGGUAAUAAGGUAAUCAUAUAAUGAGUUCAAUGUGAAAUGAAUAGAUCAGGGCAAGGAUCCUCCACUGAAGCCGUUACAACGUAAGUCCACUGGUAGAAGUCGAGAGUGUAAAUGAUUUGUGUUUGUGACUAUAUUUAGAGAGGCAAGCUAGGAAAGGUAAUAUGGAUGUCUGUAAGGAAGCUUUUCUUGGUUAAAUCCCAGAAGAAAUGGAUAUUUGGAAAAGUGAAUGUAUGCCUAAACCAUGGAUUAAGUCUGCCAAAUGACUGGCUCAAAGAUUCCAAAGCUUGUUAUGCCAACAAAUCAGUAGUCUUCUUAAGAUGCUCAGGGGGUUUUAAAUUAUGUGUUUUUCUUUUGUUCUAGAAACAUAGUGCUUUUGUUCAUUGAUGUACAGAAUCUUACUAAGUUCAAUUGAAAUUACGAUAGUGUUGCCUUGGAUGCAGGAUUAAAAUUAUUGGAGUCGUUGUGGGAAGGGACCAAGCCGGACACCUCCAGCCUUGUGCGAAGGGCGCGGUAGCUGUACCAUGCAUAUAAAGGGGCACCCUUAGUGGCCACACCUCGGGGAUCAAGUGGAUAUAUCUGUAUUAAAAUUUAAAUUUUAAAUUUUUUUAAAUAGUUGUGAGAUGAAUAAGGUAGAAGUUUAUAAUAAUGUAAUACUCAUAUGAUGAGUUAUAAUAGAAGUUAAAAAUUGAAAUUUGUUACUGUCUAAGUGGGUAAAUAAAUCUGGUUAGAAAACUUGUCAAGUAAUACGGUUUUGUAAUGCCCCAGAAUUUGGGUCUAGAAGUAUUGGGCCUUGAGCAAGGGAAUGGUUAGGAAACUGUGCAUAAAAGUAUGUCUGCUUUAGUGGUUAAGGGUCCUGAGAGGAGUUGGAAAAGUAUGUCAUGAUAUAUUGCAUGGGGAUGGGUUGUUAUAUUUGGAGGAAGUGUACCGUACUGAUAAGGUUGCACGGGUCGUCCAAGACGACUGUGGACCUACUGAUGGUUAUGUGUCGCUUAUUUUACUGGCAGCUUUGCUGCAGUACUGUUUAGUGCCGCAACCGGUGCUAAUCUUGGUGUGUCUAGCUGGGUGGGUCGAUUUUAUCCCUACAUAGUGUGUUUGGCGGGACGGAAUGGUGUGUUGAGGCUGGAUUGGGUAGGAUUUCUAACUGCAUAUCUGCACUGAUUAAGGAUUUUGUACUGUUACUGCAUCGAUUAAUGAUAUUACAUACUGUUCACUGCAUGACUGAUAUCUGUUACUGUUAUGGGUCAAGGCCCCACUGAUAAUAUUACUGAAAUUGGGCAAAAGCCCUACUGAUUACUGGCAUUGUGAUGGGCUCAAGCCUAAUCAUUUACUGUUACGGGAAAGGGCUUAGGCCCACACUGAACUGGAUUGUUAUUGUAACGGGCUCAGGCCCAAACUGCAUUUAUCUACUGUUUAAUUGACUUUUUACUUGUUAGGGGAUUACACACUGAGUUUUCGUAAACUCACCCUUGCCUUUUUACUGUACAAGUAAUCCUCAACCAUAGGCGAUUUGGUGCUGCGAGGGACUCGGAUGUGGCCACACAACUGCAGCUGUUCUACACUGCUUUUAAUUAAACUUAAAUUUUAUGUUAGGUUUGGUUUAUGUAAUAAGGCCUUUUAUAUUUGUUUAAUUUUUUUUAAAUGGGGAUUUGGCUUACUUAUUUUAAACAACUAAUUUAGGAGAAAACGUAUUUUCAAAAUAACUACUAUUUUCCAAGACACGAAAUUAAAACUUUAGAGUAUUCAAAAGGUUCCGCGAUUUUAGAUCAACCUAUUAAGACAAUAUCAGAUAACAAGACAAACGUUUUGACUAGUUGAUUGUUAAUUAAUAAAAAAAGGGUUUAUUUUAAACUUAGAAACAAAUUUUUACCAACGAGUCUAUUUUUUGAAAGACACUUCAAUGUGACACGCCAGAUUCGGCCAUAACUCCUAGGCCAGGUUUGGGGUGGUACAGGUUUAACUGUGACAUUCGAUACUCAGACUCGGUGACCAGGUCGGGUGUAGGGUGUCACAAAAAGAGAGAGCUCAUCUCAUUUCUAUUCAUCCAUGCCAAAUAUUGAAGAAGAAUAAGAAUGAAAAUUGGUUUAGGGUUCUAAGAUUUCAAGCUUCAAAUUGGUUAGUGCCAUUUAAUCAUUUUCUUAUAAUUUUUAUGUUUUUGAAAUCCUGAGAGCUUAAGCUAGCUAACUUGUGUGAUAUUUUUCAAAACCGUUAAAGUUUUGGAAAUAUGUAAUUGAUGAUAUCUUGAAGUUUUAGGUACUAAAUCGAUAGAUUUUAAGCUUAGGAGUGAAAAAUGACUAAUUUAUAUAGUUGUUUGAUAGUUUCACACAAUAGGUACUAAAAUGCAUAAAUUACGAAAUUAGAGGUGGAAAUGAGUAAUAGGAGGUCCUAAAUGGAUUGCAAUGAAAUCCUAUUAAAAAUUUGAGUUCUAUAUUGAAAGUUAUGUUAGUCCCAAUUUUAGGGACUAAAUUGAAUAAAUUGUAAAUGUUGUUUAAAUUUGAAAUUGAGUGAAUUUGAUUUUGUAUUGACGAAUCAUUGUGUUUAUGUUAAUCUGUAGCUAAUGUCAACCCGAAUUCCUAAAAAAGGAAAAGAAAAGACAAAACUGUUGAUAAAUAGCUCAGAGUUUACAAUUUAUAUUUUUAUAAUUCGAACUACUUCUUUUGCUGCAUUUAUGAACUGUUUUGCAUGGUAAGAUCAUAAGGUGAGUUGAAAAUGAUAAAACGAGUUGAAUUGAUCCGAUUCGGAUCUGGUUGUUUGUAAAGAGGACUAAAUUAAAUAUAUUCGGCAAUGUCGCACAUUGAUAUAAAUGUUAAAUUGAGUCCAUUUUGAAAUGGAUUAUGUUGUCAUAUACAUAUAUUGAUGAUUUAUAGAUGAAAUAAUAGUAUUGAUUUGAAAAAAAAAUUAUUAAUGAAACUGAGAAAUUGUUACCCUAUUAACUGUUUGGGCAGAGUUAGAUAUAAUUGGCAUGCCAUAGGAUAGGAAGAUUUUAGGGUUAUUACGACUAUGAGUCGAGGAGUGACUGGUUAUACUAACUAGCACUGGGUUUAACUUACUAUUUCAGAUUAUUCGAUAGGCACUAGGUGCCAAACCGGUGUGAUUGGUUGGAUCUGUGUAUCCGUCCUAGUCUGAGUCAAGUUAAUAGGGAAUUAAAAAUGUAAAAUGGAUCUUGAAUUGUGGAAUAAAUUGGUAGAAUAAUUGGCUAUGUUCAUUGAAUAGAAAGUUUAGAAUAGAAAUAUGACAAUAGCUUGUGUGAUAUCAACCAUGGUAUAAAAUGCAUUAGAUGUUAUAAUUGUGGUAAAAUGAUGAAAUGGCAUGGCUUGACACAUGAAUGGCAUGUAAAUCUUAUGAACUUUACUUUAUGAUUUUGUAUGUUUUCUAUUAUGAAUUUUUAUUCGGAUGAUGGAAAUACCAUUAAGUUCAUACUCAGCGUACAAUUUUGUUCUUCGUGCGUAGGUUAGGGUGAUUGUGAGCGUCCCACAGUAUUAGGAUCGAACAAUAAUGCCAGGCUCAACAACUGGUGAUGUUUCCUGUACUUUAAUGGCAUGUACCUAAAGGAGUAAUAUGUUAUAUAAUUCUAAGUUUAAAGAAUGAUUUGGUAUUUUGAUGUGGGUUGUAUAUGUAACAGCCUGGUUUUCAGUAGUGUCAGAAAUAGUGAUUCUGGGACCACGAUUCCGACGAGUGAGUCAGUAAAUAUUAUUCAUUAAUACUUACGAGCUUAUUUUAGUGUUAUAUUGAUCAUUGAUUUGAUAGUUGGUUGAAUUGGAUGUAAUGUUGAUGUAUGGACUAAACUGUAAGAAUUAUUGACUACCUAGUUAAAUGUAUUUCAUAAAAAUUGAUCGAGGUGUUAUGUGGCAGUUAACCACAUUUUCCUAGUAAUGAACGAUUAGUGUUGGGUGUUUAAGUAGAAUCUUUAGUGGAUGGAAAGAGAGUCAUCAUUCUUAUCUUCCUCCACUUAAAACAUCUCCAUUAGAGAAUAAAGAAAAGCUCUUGGUAUUUUUGAACAAUCAGUUUUGUAUGUAAGUGUUUUCAAAGCCUAUUUUUCAUGAAUUUUAUGUUUUUGAGAUUGUUGUAUCUCGAUUUAGUUAACUUGUGUGUCUAAUUUCAAAACUGUUAAAGUUUGAAGAGUAGUUAUUAAUAAAUUGAAUGUAUUAACGUAUAGAUCAAGAACCAAAUCAACCAGUAGAUAACUGAUGCAGUUGUAAACCAACUAAACAUCCGACAAAUACAAGUGCACCUAUCAGUUAAUAGUAUAGCUACGGUGAGCAAAAAUAUUGUUUUCACGAGGACUAAAAGUACUAGUAAUACUACCUUUCUAUUAUUUAACUGAUAAAAUGGAACGGUUGAUUAAGACUAAAAUUAACUAAAUUAAUUAACUAAAGAACACGAGAAAGAACAAAUUAGGAAAAUAAAUGAUUAACAACAAAGAAGUGAGACAACACCUAGGAAAGAAUCCACCUAGAUUUCAUCUGUCAUUGUCAAUCUAAAUUACGCAACAUCUUCACUUAGUAUCUUCAUCCGUAGAAAUCCCUAAAUUAUGCUAAUAUCCCUCUUCAAGACUAAGAGCAACUGACUCUAAGUUGAUUAAUUGAAAUUUUUUUCUAAUUAAAGCCCCUAUUAUCACAUUAACUCGAUAUACGGAUUCCCCUAUUAGAUUUGACUCUAAUUCGAUAGAUUUAUAUCGUCCUAUUUCUAGGAUUGCAUGGAACUCCACUCAAUUAUGCUAGAUCUACUCUUAAACUGGGUCUAUUCCUCCUUUGAUUCAAGCAUAUCAAACAUGGAUUAAUAGUCUAGAAUUAUUAAACCAAGAAUUAAGCACACAUAAUUGAGAAUAAGAUCCAAGAAUUUAUUGCGUAAAAAUAGAAAUUAAAUAACAGAAUCCAUCCUAGGGUUCAUCGCUCUAGGUAUUUGAAAAAUUAGUUCAUGAUAGCAAAUAAAAACAUUGUAAAGACAAUACAACCAUAAGAAACAAAGAAACUCAUAACAAACUUCAAAGAAAUCAAAAGGAUAUCUUCAAUCUUGAUGGAAAUUUGCUUCAAAUUCAGCUUCAAUGGUGUUUCCCGAGUUGUUUUUUUUAGUAUUCUGUAACGGCCGUCCCUUAUCUUCUUAUUUUUUUCAUAUAUAUAGGUAUUAAAAUGCCAGAAAACUAAAAAAAAUGCAUUUUCCGGUAGGUUUGGAGUGUGAUUUGUGAUUUCCAUAUGGUCUGGCACAUGGCUGUGUGGUAGCUCGUGUGGUUCACACAGCCGUUUGACCAAAAAAUUAUAAUUACAAUAAUUAUAAUAAUAUUUGAUCCUAAAUUAUAAUUACAAUAAUUAUAACACGGAUUUCGGUAAAUUAUUUUUAGUUAAAUUUUAUACAAAUCAAUUCAUAUAUUAAUUUAACCAUAUUUUUCAUUAUAUGUACAACAUACUUGUACAUAUAAUUCCUUCGAUAUUUAACUUCCCAAUUGAAUUAAUUCUAUAAUUAAUUUAAUUCAUGUGACAACUAAACUCAAUACCAACUAUGUUUCGAUUCCGUUCGUUUCAACCAUAGGGUGUGACCUUUUAGGUUCUUGUGACGUUAGCAGUAAUACUAGAAGAAUUCUAAUAUUACAAACAAUGAGUGGCAUGUAGCAAUGCAUCAUUGCUACCUAAGUUACAAGAAGUCAUGAUUCGACAUAACCUCUCUGUGAUUACCCCUUCAUGUAUUAAAUCCUUUUGUCAUUUAUAUCUAGAAUGGACACAAGUCAUGGAAUAGUCACACUUGCAUAGCCCAUCUAAUGUUUCUUGGUAUCUUGUGUAGAUUAUGAAAAACAAAUACGUACGACAUCUCAUAUCAACUUAUUCGAGCAUGGCCAUGCAUUUUUAGUCUCACUCAAUCAAUGACAACACUUUGUCAUGAAUAAACUCCAUGUUAGUAUUAAUACAUUAUUGUUGUCCAAGCCCACAAUAAUACUCAACUAAGGAUCUUUUAAGAAUAAUCAUAUUAUUCUCAGGACAUUAUUAUAAAACAAUUUAUUUAUAUACAUAUAAAAUAAACUGAAAUAAUAAUGGCUAUGCCUUAUAUUAAUAAACAAGGUAAAAUAAGUAUGUUAUUACAAUCAUCUCAUGAUUGAUCUUUGGGCAUACUCUAACAGAAAAAAAAAACAUCCUCACUAAAGAUUCACUCACAACACUUACAGUGUUUAAGGUUCAAAUAAUGUGCACUCAAUAGUCAAACGAGAAAUGUUAUUACCAUUGGCUUACUUGAAAAUCAAAUCUUCACCACUAUAAAUGAGAUGACACAUCAAUCAAUAGGUCUUUACAAGGUUGUAAUGGGCUUAGGUUAAAGGUAUUGAAAAUGUUAGAAAAGUAGGUUAUAAUCAAGAGUUGAGUUGAUAAGUUACCAAACUAGAAAAAAAAUAUCAGUUGCUGAAUUAAAAGAAUUCACAUCAACAAGAAAUAUCACAAAUGGAACUGAGCUGUUCCACAUAAUAUGAAACUAAUUAUUCAAGCUCAAUCAAAUAUAAUUUUUUAAUAUAUUUUUUCUUUUUUCUUUUUUUCCCUUUUGAUUUUUUUAAAACAAAACAAAAUUCAGCAAUUCAAAUAAUGAAACAUAGUUAGGAAACUAACCAAAUAAAAUCUCGACAAAAAGGGAGUUAAUAAAAAGGAUAAUUUUACAACAUAGAUAUGAGUUAUGGGUUAACAUUAACGGGUUAGAAAAAAAUGUGUUAGGAUCAACAGGAUUUACUAAGGGUUAAUUCAAUAGGUAAGCUUUUUACAGGUUAAGUGGGUUAAAUCCUAAGUACCUCUAUCAUCUCAGUAUAUCAAAUCAAUAAUGUGGUCUUUAUAUGCAUAAUCAAAGCAAGUUCUAGAACUCCAAAUCAAGUUGACAUACACAAAACCAAAGAUAAAAUGAGCAAGAAAUAAAAUAUAUGCUCUAUAGGGUCAAAAGCUCACAAAAAUUAUGGUUCUGAUGUCAAACUUGCAAAUUUAAAAUUUUAAAAUAAUUUUUCAGUUCAGGGAGACAAUCUAAAAUUAUAAUAUUUGAAAAAAAAACUUAUCAUGCUUAAAGUAUAAAUCACAGAACACACAAAAAUCCACAAAUUAUUCCAAAACCAAAUCAAUAAAAACUCCAAAUUAAAAGAAAUUAUUUCAAUGUUCGAUUUGAUAAAAUUACUUAAACACAAACAAUAAUUCAGAGUCUAUAUCGUAUAAACAUAUAAAACCCUCCCCACACUUAAAAUGUACAUUGCCCUCAAUGUACAAACAAUUAAAAUCACAUAAUAAGUACAAUAUCAUAAGGAGGAAAAGAACUAAAAUUGCCCUGAAUUUGGAUGAAUUCAUUGAAAUAUUGAAAACCGGAAUUGUAGGCGAUUCUAAAUGAAGUGCAUGUUUCCAAGCAAACUAAUAAGAAAAUAGAAAAAAAAUGAAUAAGAAGAUAAAGAGAUAACAAAAUAGAAAAACAACCGUUAAAACAAUAAAAGUACAAUGCAUAAUAAAAUAAAAUAAAAUAAAACAAAAAAAAAACAGAAACAAAAGUAAAGACAAAAGACAAAAGACUAAAGACAAAACAAAAACAAAAACAAAAACAAAUAAAAUAUAAAACUAAAUGAAAUCGUUUUGGUUGGGGUAGGAAGAAAACAAAAGAAUAAGAAAAAUAAGGUCAUGUGCUAGGCCAUGUGAGCCACAUGGCCGUAUGGUCAGGUCGUGUGUGCCACACGGCCAUGUGAAUUCACCCAGACCGUGUGUUAUUUAAUAAUAGAGAAAAAUAAGCGUAGAAACCACACGGCCAUAUGUUAGGCCAUGUGCGAUGCUCCUUCGCUUCUCCCACGCUUGUGUGCGAGCUCGUGUGAGCCACACAGUCUACCACACGUCCGUAUGUCUUACACGGCCAUGUCUCCAGCCUGUGUGGGUCAAAUUAAAAUUGGAAAAAUUAGCUCCUGUAUGCACAUGGCCUAAGACAUGCCCGUGUAUCCAGGUUGUGUGGAUCACCUUAGACCAUAUGGACAACUUUUUUUUUCAAAAAUUCUUUUUCAAUUUCUUUUUUGAAAUUGCUUCAUAAGUUUUUUUUUUCAAUUUGUUUUUCAUUUCUUGUUUUUUUUUAAAAAGUCAAAAGUUUUUUCAAUUUUUUUUUUCAAAAUAACAUGAAAGUAAAAUAAAUAAAUAAAAAUAAAAACAGUUGGGUUGCUUCUCGAGAAGUGCUUAAUUAGAGUCUAAGCUUGACUUCCCUUUUUAAGCUCACAGUUAAGUCAAAUCUUGGAGUUGGAGCUCCUCUCUCUCGUUAUCAGUAUUACCACCAAAAGAAAGUUUGAGAUUAUGUCUGUUUACCAUGAAUGUGCGGUAAUCAAGGUGUGUUACCUCAUUGGUUUCGUAUGGAAAUACGAUUUUACCACACAUGGGUCAGACCCUUUUGACUUGAACUUUGAAGGAAAAAUUCGUGGAUCCGAUUUGUCUAACAACCCUUUGUCCCCAACUUUGAAUUGGUUCAUUCUCUUUACAUGCACAUCAUGGCGUUGCUUUGUUACUUCCUUUUUCUUUCUUGGUUUCUCCUCAAAUUUGUUCGCCAUUCAUCUAGUUCAUCGAGCUGCACCAUUCGCUCUUCACUCUUCACUCGAGUUAUAUCACUUUGAAUAAAAAAUGGCUCCAACACAUUUUCAUGAGGGAUUUCCUGCAAAGAACGUUGAGUCACAUGAUUACCAACAUUAACUGAAGAAUUAGUAUCAUCUCGCUCACUAGGGACUCUCACGAAAUCACGUGCUUGAAGUGUAAUCUUUUCAUUACCUACACGAAGCACAAGUUCACCAGUACCCACAUCAAUAACAGUUCUAGCAGUGGCUAAAAAGGGUCGACCUAAGAUCAUAGGUACCUUAAUAUUUUCAUCCAUGUCCAAUACAACAAAAUCAAUAGGGAAUAUAAAUUUAUCAACUUUCACAAGUACAUCCUCAAUAAUAUCUCUAGGAUAUCUAAUUGAUCUAUCCGCUAAUUGAAUUCUCAUCCUAGUGGGUUUGGGUUCCCCAAGACCAAGUUGUUUGAACAUCUUAUAAGACAUGACAUUUAUACUAGCCCCCAAAUCAACCAAAGCUUUUUCAACAUUUAAACUACCAAUGAGACAAAGAAUAGUAAAACUCCUUGGAUCUUUAUGUUUGUUGGGUAGUUUGUUUUGGAAAAUGGCCGAGCAAACUGCAUUGAGCUCCACAAUCGACAAGUCAUCUAACUUCCUUUUAUUUGUUAACAACUCCUUUAAAAGUUUUACUUACUUUGGCAUCUGUGAAAAGGCAUCAACAAAUGGUAAGUUAAUGUGCAAAUUUGUUAACAGCUUCCUCAACCCUUCUACGCUUCGGAUAGUGAUUGCGUAGAUUUGCUCUUUUAGGUUAGUUUCAAUUUUGAUAGGUAAGCUUCUUGUGGUCUUUUGGAAAAAAGUUUGGCAAAGUGUCCAAUUUGAUUUUCAAGUCCUUGAAUUGAUGCUUGCUGAUUUUUCAAAGCUAUCUCAGUGUUUUGAAAUCGAGUUUGUGACACCGAAAUAAAUUUAGCCAACAUCUCUUCAAGGUUCGAUUUCUUCUCUUGCGAUAAGGCUGCCCCAAAGGGGGUUGUGACAUUUGAUUAUCUUGAUCACCCUAAGAGAAAUUUGGAUGGUUCCUUCAACCUCUAUUAUAACUAUUGCUAUAGGGGUUAUUUUGAGAUCUUGAAUGAUUACCUAUAAAGUUGACUUGCUAAUGCUCCAUGUUAGACUUGAAGGGUGAAUAUUCUGAAUUAAUCAUCCCCACUCCAUUUGUAUCACACUACAUCAUCAGAUUCACCUGCCUAGAAAAAUUCAAACGAUCAAUUUUCUUACCAAGAGCUUCAACCUGAAUUGCUAAGAUAGAAACUGCAUCAAUAUUAAAAACACUGGUUACUUUAAUUGGUUUCGUUCUCUUGACUUGCCACUAAUAGUUAUUCAAUGCAAUCUCCUGAAUUAACUCUUGAGCUGCCUCAGGUGUUUUGUUAUUCUAUGUUCUGCCAACUACUGCAUCAAUUAUCUAUCUAGUCGAGGGAUUCAAACCAUUGUAGAAGGUUUGAACUUGCAACCACAAAUGUAACCCAUGAUUAGGGCACCUUCUCAACAGAUCUUUGAAUCUCUCUCAUAGAUCAUAUAAUGUCUCCAAAUCAAUUUCAGAAAAAGAAGAGAUGUUCCUCAACUGAGCACUUUCAGCCAGUAGGAGGUACUUCAACAGAAACUUCUCAGUCAUCUGAUCCCAAGUCAUGAUAGAACCUUGUGGCAAUAAAUUUAACCACUAUUUUUCCUUGCUCCUAAAAGAGAAUGGGAAAAAUCAUAAUUGUAUGAUGUCAUCAGUAGCGCCAUUAAUCUUGAAAGUGUCGCAAGUCUCUAGAAUGUUAGCCAAAUAAGUAUUCGAAUCUUCAUCUUGCAAACCAUCACACUGAACAUACUGUUGUACCAUUUGAAUUGUGUUUGGCUUCAGCUCAAAGUUGUUUGCAGCAAUAGUGGGUCUCACAAUACUCGAUUCAACCCCAAUCAGAGUGGGCUUAGCAUAAUCAUACAUAGUAUAAGGAGCAGGAGUUGCAGGAGGUAGCUUAUAAUUUUGAUUAUUACUCAUCUUCACAGUAAUAUUCUUUUCCUCUUGAUUGCCUACUUAUUUUGUUUAUUUUGCCUUGCUUCUUUUACCGCUCUAUGAUUUCUGCGAGUAGUCUUUUCAAUCUCUCUAUCAAAAAGUAAUAGAUCGAAUGGGUUCCCCCUAGUUAUAAACCAAAAGAACCUGCCAAAAGAAAACAAACAAAAAAUUAGAAUGUAAAAAUUAAAUUAAAAACAAAAAUAUUAAAAUAAAAAAUUCCUAAAUUAAUAGAAAUAAAGUUUUCCUAAUAUUUUAGUCCUUGGAAACAGCGCCAAAACUUGAUGCAGUCGUAAACCAACUAAAAAACUAACAAAGGUAAGUGCAUCUAUCAAUUAAUAGUAUAGCUACGGUGAGUAAAAAUAUCGUUCCCACGAGGACUAAAAGUACUAGCAAUUAUGCCAUUCUAUUAUUUAAUCGAUAAAAUGGACUGGUUGAUUAAGAGUAAAAUUAACUAAAUUAAUUAACUAAAGAACACGAUAAAGAACAAAUCUGGACAAUAAACGAUUAACAACCAAGAAACGAGAAAUACCCAAGAAAGAAUUGACUUAGAUUUCAUCUGUCAUAAUCAAUCUAAUUAUACAAUUUCUUCACUUAGUAUCUUAAUUUCAUAGAAAUCCCUAAUGUAAAAGCCUAAUUUUUACUUGAGACAAAAUAGUGGAUUUGGGACGGCAAAUUUCUGUCGUGUCAACUAGUAAAUAUUAUUUAUAGAAUAUUUAUAAAGUAAUUAGAGUCUUAUUAAAAUUUGGUUAAGAAAUUUUAAUGUUUAGAUAGUUAAUGAAAGAAAAAGUACUAAGUUGUAAAAGGUGCAAAACUUAGUAAUUAUUGCAUUUAGGUGAUCAAAUAGCUUAAUUAAUAGAUGAGGAAGGAGUUAAGUAGAAAUUAUGUCUUAGUUAACAUGGUGGCACAACAUUUUGGUUGAAAAGGAUAAAAUAAUAUAAUUACAAUGGUAAUUUUGUAAUUUAAUGGAAAAUUAAAACAAAUUAAAGAAAGAUUAAAACAUUUUUAUAUUCAUUUCUUCUUCUCUAAUUGACCGAACACCAUAGCUAGGGAGCAAGGUUUUUGUUUUGAUUGUUCCUUUGCAUGUAAGUGAAGUCGAUGUCUAUUUCUUGUAAUUUUUAUGUUUUUAAGAUUGUUGCAACUAGGUCCAACUAGCAUGUACAUUUGUUUUUGAAUCUGUUAAAAAUUUUAGAAGUGGCCAUUGAUGAAUCUUGAAUUUUUUUGAUGAUAAGUAUGUAUUUGAAUAUUUGAUUGUAGUAUUUGGUGGUUUUGUGUAGUGAUUUUUGUUAGAUUUUGAUUUAAGGAUUAAUUAUGAAAAUGUUAAAAUUUGAGGGUUUGAUUAUAAAUUGGAUGUUUAAUAGGGACUAUUUAAGGGCCUAGUAUAUUUGGCUAAAAUUUUGACUUGAGAAAAAUGGUUAAAUUAAUGAUUUUGGGGUUAAAGGACUAAAUUGUAAAAAUUUUAAAAGUUAAGGGUAAUUAUGUAAUUUUGAAAAUUAAAGGGUAUAAAAUGUAAAGUGAAGUAGAAUGUGAAAUAUAAGCUAAUAUUUGAGGAAUUUCACAUUUUAGAUCAAGAUCCUGUUGAUAUACUUGGAAAAAAAAUCUCGGAUUAGUCCUUGAACUUCUACAACUACUACAAGUCAGUGUAAGUAAGUCGUACAGUUUACAAUUUAAUAUAUAUAUGAAAUGAGUGAUGAUAUAAUAUGAUAUAAUAUUUAUAAUUGUUUUAUCAUUGAUGUAAAGUUAUUUGAGAAAGAUUGAUGCAAUACUUUAAUCGGAUGAACGUGGGAUGGAGUACAAUCGAAUUAUGGCAUGUUAUGGGGGGAUUGGAAUGGAGAUUGUUGGUAGUGAUAUAUAUAUUUUCCCAAGCAGCCCGAGGUUCAACAUUUGUUGCGAACUCUCGUGUUAUACUACAUGUUUUGGUGUGUUUUCAGUUGGACUAGCUCUAAUGAGCAUCUGGCGUGUUAUCGAGUGGAUUAGGUCUUAUGAGCAUCUGGCGUGUUAUCAGGUGGAUUAGCUCUUACGAGCGAUUGGCGUGUUCCGGUUGGAAUAUCUAUGUACUUAUAUUUGUUUUUCGUUCAUCAGAUUGUAAAUCUCUGUAUUGUAACUUGUUUAGUGAUUUUGAUAGUUAUAACAUGUAUUUGAGCUUUGGAUUAAACUGUACAAUUCACUGGGUUGAGAUUUUGGAUGACAGGGAACACAUGUGGUUGAGUUAUUAUUGAAUGAUUUAUUGUAUUACUUCGGUUAGAUUUAUCAUUUUUUACCUCAACUUACGAAGCUUUAAAGAGCUUAUUUGUAUUAUUUUCUAUUCUUGUAGAUACUUUGAAGGUUGGACGGUCGGAUCCUCACUCAAGUCACACUAUCCACCUAUUUUCGGUAGUUUUUGGAAUGUUCAUUUUUUAUUAUAUGACAUGUAAUAUGCUUGUUUGUCAUUGCUAUUGUUUUGAUAUGUAAAAUAUUAAAGUAUGAUUCUAAAUGGAAGUAGUUAACUUAAUAUGAUAUAUGUGAACUAAGGAAGAUGUUUAAGUGCAAGUUUAUGGUAAGUGUUACUGGAAUGUUGUGAUUGAGGUGCCUAUGAUAGGCAUAUUGGUUGAAUGUUGAAUUGUGUGAAUUAACAUGCCUUGGGUGAUAGUUCAUUUUGUUGUGAAAUUGUAUAUAAUUGUGGUACCAAUGCGGGUACAUUGGUUAAGCACUUAGGAUGGUUGCUUUAACAUGUUUUGAGCUUGUUUAGUAUCAUUUUAAAUAGGUCUUUUGGCUGGUAAAUGGAUUACUUAGGGUUCAAGUAAGCUUGAAAUGGUAAACUUGUCAUUUAAUGUUCAUUUGGGUCCACACGGCCUGAGAUACGAGCGUGUAAGGCACAGACCUGGUGAUACAACUAUGUGUCACCUGAUGAUUUCUUUAGGGUGCAAGUCAGUGAGUUACACAGCCUAACACAUGGCCUGGCACACGGGCAUGUGAGGUAACUCAGAUAGUUACACGGGUGAGGACACGGAGUGGGACACGACCGUGUGUCCCUAGUUUGAUAGUUACACGACCUGAGACAUGGAUGUGUGUCUUAACUAUGUGAGGCACACGGCCGUAUGACCCCUAUUUUUUCAAAUUUUGCAUCUUUUUCCUAAACAUUCCAAAUUGUUUCAAAUUGGUCCCAAUUUGUUUCUAGGUUAUCUUUAGAGCCUCGAGGACUCAAUUUAGGGACAAUAUGCAUGUGUAUGAAUGGUUUAUGAUGUGAUUAUAAUAUUGGAUAGUAUAAUGUGAAAUUGUUUUUGAUUGUAUAGUAAUACUCCAUAAACCUAAUCUAGCGACGGAGACGGGUUAGAGGUGUUACAUUUAGUGGUAUCAGAGCUACGAUUUAGUCGGCUCUCUGACAAAGCGUAGUGUGUAAAAUGUCUAGAAUUACAUGCCAUAUAAAUCUGUGAUAGUGUGACGCGUUUGAUCCGAUCUAACCUCUGUUUUUCUUAUAGAUUAUAAAGAUGUCAGACGGAUCUGGUCGUGCUGAGAAUGAUGAGGUUUAUAGUAAUAUACCGACCUCAGAACAAGGGACGAGUAGUAAUAUUUUGAUUCUACAUGUACCUAAACAUGAACUUAAAAUCUUAUUUUUCGGGUUUAUGAACUAGUGGUUUAAUGAGUUUAUGCAAAUGAAUACUGCGGGUCAACGGCCUCCUUCCCCUGUUACACCUCCCGUUACACCUCCACCUCCUUUUAUGACUGAAUCUAGCCGACGUAUACCGAUUGAAAAGCUUAGAAAAUGUGGUGCUGAAGAAUUCAGUGGUAGAUCAGAAUAUGAUCCGGUUAAAGCCGAGUAUUGGCUUUAGAACAUCUUAUGAGUUUACGAAGAAAUGGCUUGCCUUCCUAAUGUUUUUCUUAGAUGUGUCGUUUCAUUGUUAAAAGAAUGAGUGUACAGGUUGUGGACUACGUUGGUAGCUGUGGUACCGAGGGAGAAAAUUACCUGGGAUUUCUUUUAGAUCGAGUUCAAAAAGAAGUAUGUUGGAAGAUGGUAUCUAGACAAGAAAAAGAAGGAAUUUCUUGAGUUACAACAAGGAAAAAAGUCAGUUGCUGAGUACGAGAGAGAGUUUGUGUAUCUCAGUAAAUAUGCCCGAGAAAUUGUACCUACUGAAGAAGAGAUGUGUAUCUUAUUUAAAAAUGUCCUGAAUGAUGAAAUUAGAAUGAUCAUCUGAGGUAAUGCAAUCGAAGAAUUUGUUGUUUUAUCUGAUCGUGCAGAAAAAAUGAAAGAAGUGUACAACUAUAAGAUACAAAGGAAUAAAGGGAUUCGAGAGUUUAACAAGAGAAGUUCUUCUAAGUCAUUUUUUAUACCACUAACAAAGAAGAAUAGAGAAGACUUUAGUUGAGCUACUUUAGUGUCUAAGCAUCCGAACAAAAAUAAAUUGAUUCAGCAUGAUUUUAAGACUCCUACAAAACCAAUUGAUAGUGUGGGAAGUGCACGGAACACUCCAAAGCUUAGAUGUAAACAUUAUGGAACGCAUCAUUUUGGUAAAUGUAGAGCUAAGUUGGGGGCAUGUUAUAGAUGCGGAUCAACUGAUCACUUUCUUUGAAAUUUUCCUAAAUAGUUAAAAGAAAAUGAUGAACAAAAUGAAAAGUAAAUGUCUACAUCUCAUAAAAGUAGACGUUCGAGCUAGAACAACACUAUUAGGACUCCUCAUGCGGGAGCAAAAGAUAUGGUUGUUCGAUCAAAGACCAGAGCACCUACUCUUGUUAGAGUAUGCCCAAAGAUCAAUCAUGAGAUGGUUGUAAUAACAUACUUGAUUUAUCAUGUUUAUUAAUAUAAGGCGUUACCAUUAUUAUUUCAGUUUCUUUUCUGUGUGUAUAAAUAAACUGUUUUAUAAUAAUGUCCUGAGAAUAAUAUGAUUAUUCUUAAAAGGUCCUUAGUCAAGUAUUAUUGUUGGAUAGAACAACGAUAACGCAUGAAGACUAACAUGUAGUUGGUUGAUGAUAAAGAGUUGUCAUUGAUAUGGAGUGUUAGAAUCGAUGCAUGAAUAUGUGUGUUAGAGAACAACAUAUUGGACUGACCCGUUAUGAGUAUGUUUCUUAGAUUAUUAUGUAAUUGUCACGACAUUACUCAUAGUGAUUAAUAUGUAUAUGAUCCUCAGACUUGAGGUCAUCAUAAUCCCAACAUCGUGAGUUCUAUAUUUUGAUACAGUCAAACGUACACUGUAACUGGUUGUUCUAUAAAGGCUGAUGUUGGAUAUACCACAAUCUAUGUAGAGGGAUAUGAUUGAUCAAUAUAGGAUAAGUCCCUCCUACAUAAUGGGAGUAAUAUCUUAGGCCACUUGAUUGGGUGUGACUAGAAAUGCAUGGCCAUGCUCAAAUAAGCUGAUAUGAGAUGUCUUACUUAUUUGUAUAUCAUAGUCUACUUAAGAUAUCAAGGAACAUGGAAUGGACUAUACAAGUGUGACUAUUCCAUGACUUGUGUUCAAUCCAGAGAUAAAGGACUUAAGGAUUAGUGCAUGAAAUGAUUAAUCAUAAAAAGGUUAUGUCGAAUCAUGAUUUCUUGUGACUUAGGUAGCAAUGAUGCAUUGCUAGGUGCCACUCAUUGUUUGUAACAUUGGAAUCGUUCUAACAUUACUGCUAACAUUACAAGAACCUACAGGGUCACACCCUAUAGUUGAAAUGAACGGAAUAAAACAUAAUUGGUAUUGUGUUUGGUUGUCGCAUGAAUUAAAUUAAUUAUAGAAUUAAUUUAAUUGGGUAAUCAAAUAUCGAACACAUUAUAUAUACAAGGUUGUUGUACACAUAAUGAGAAUAUGAUUUUGGUUCAUAUAUAAAUAAAUAUAGUUUACCAAAAUCUUUAUUAUAAUUAAUGUAAUUAUAAUUUUUAGUUUUUUAAACAUUAUUAUAUUUAUUUAAUUUUGAAAAACCCUAAAAAAAUAACAAGAUAUAAAAUCUCGUUUUUCUUUGCUUAGUGAGUCUAGCAGCCGUCAAAGCAAAGUCUUCUCCAAAACUGUUUGGGUAUUCCUUAGAGGUCGGAGUCAUCAAAGAUUGUGGGUUGGUUCGAUAGUAGAUCAGAUUACUCAUUGCCGAGGCAUCGCUGUCUACUUAGAAUCACCAUUCGGUAAUUUCGAAACCCUUUUUCACUCCGAUUCGUUCUUCACACAUGGAUCCAUGGUUAGGAUCUUCGGGUGUUAUAUUUUUCCGCUGCGCCGUAAGGGUGCCGGCGUUCCAACAACUCUAACAUGUGCCAUCUGAGCCAGAGAAGAAGCUGCUGCACCUGAUGUGAUUGCUGGUACGUUCUAUCUCUUUGAUAUUACUGUGUAUGCACUGAUUGACCCUGGGUCAACUCACUCUUAUAUUUGCACUACAUUAGCAACAAAAAUGAAACUACCUAUUGAAUCAACUGGAUAUGAUAUUCAUGUUACUAAUCCACUAGGUCAGAAUAUGAUAGUUAACUUAGUUUUUCGUAAAAGUCCACUAAAAAUUAGAGGCUGUGAAUUCCCUGCUGAUUUGAUGUUACUACCCUUUCUUGAAUUUGAUGUUAUUUUGAGUAUGGAUUGGCUAUCAUUACACGAUGCUGUGGUAAAUUGUGGAUAAAAAUAGAUUUAUUUGAAAUGCCAGACAUAAGAGAUGGUUUCAGUUGAAUCUGAUAGGUCGAAUAGUGUUGUUAGAAUCAUUUCAGCUAUUUCUGCAUAGAUAUUGAUACGUAAAGGUAGUGAAGCAUUUCUAGCAUACAUCCUUGAUAUCAGAGAUUCAGAGUUGAAGUUAGAUCAGUUAUCGAUUGUUAGUGAGUUUACUGAUGUAUUUCCUGAACAGUUACCGGGUUUUCCUCCUAAUUGGAAAGUUGAGUUUGUGAUUGAUUUGGUUCUUAGAACUGCGCCGAUAUUAAUAUCACCGUAUCGUAUGGCAUCAACUGAGUUAAAGGAGUUGAAAACACAGUUGCAAGAAUUGUUAGAAAGAGGGUUUAUUCGACCGAACGUAUCACCCUAGAGUGCACUUGUGUUGUUUGUGAAAAAGAAAGACGACUCUUUAAGAUUGUGUAUAGACUACAAACAAUGGAACAAAGUCACAAUAAAGAAUAAGUACCCCUUGCCACAUAUUGACGAUUUGUUUAAUCAAUUAAAAGGUGCCACAAUGUUCUCGAAGAUAGACCUCAGAACCAGGUAUUACCAGUUACAAGUUAAGGAUUGUGACAUGUCAAAGACUGCUUUUAGAACUCGUUACAGCCACUAUGGAUUUCUCAUAAUGCCAUUUGGAUUAAAAAAUGCUCCUACUACUUUUAUGGAUUUAAUGAGUUGGGUUUUUCAGCCUCAUUUGGAUAGAUUCGUGGUUGUGUUUAUUGAUGAUAUAUUGAUCUAUUCUAAAUCAGAAUAUGAACAUGCUCAACACCUGAGAAUCGUGUUACAGAUUUUGAGAGAAAAAUUGUUGUAUACAAAGUUCAGUAAAUGUGAAUUCUGGCUUUGCGAGGUUGGAUUUUUAGGUCACAUAGUGUCAGCUGACAGGAUUCGAGUCAAUCCGAGUAAAGUUUCUGCUGUAAUGAAUUGGAAAAUUCUGAAAAUGUUUCUAAAGUGAGAAGUUUUCUGGGUUUAGUAGGUUAUUAUUGUCAUUUUGUUAAAAUUUUCUCGAUCAUUGCUUCUCUGAUAACCAGCUUACUACAGAAAAACAUUGAUUUUGUUUGGUCUGAUAAGUGCCAACAGAGUUUUGAUCAGUUGAAAAAAAUGUUGAUAGAAGCUCCAGUAUUGACUCAGCCUAAGUCUGCGAUAACAUAUGUGGUUUACAAUGAUGCAUCUCUUAAUGGUUUGGGUUGUGUGUUGAUGCAAGCGGGGAAAAUAGUAGCUUAUGCUUCUUGACAGUUAAAGCCACAUGAAAGAAAUUAUUUAUACGGUGAGAAAUGUCACGUGUAUACGGAUCACAAAAGUUUAAAGUAUUUGAUGACCCAAAAGGAAUUGAAAUUGAGGCAGUGACAAUGGUUAGAGCUACUAAAGAUUAUAAUCUAGUUAUUGAUUAUCAUCUGUGAAAGGCUAAUGUAGUUGCAGAUGCACUCCGUUGAAAGUUGUCAUUGUUUACACUUCAAAAAUUGAAUGCUCAUUUAGCUUUGAAUGAAGAUGGUUCUGUACUGGCUGAGUUGAGAACUAAACCCUUGUUUCUACAGCGAAUUCGGGAGUUACAAAAUGAUGAUUCGAUGUUGAUAAUGAAACAAAAAUUGGUUUAGGAUAAUUUGAUUACUAAAUACAAUAUUGAUGAUUAUGGUACAAUGCGUUACCGUGAUAGGAUUUGUAUUCUGAAUUAUUUAGAUUUAAAACGUGAUAUUAUGUCUUAAGCUCACAGUAGUACGUAUUCCAUUCAUCCUGGUAGCAUGAAGAUGUAUUGUGAUUUGAAACAUAUGUAUUGGUGGUCGGGUAUGAAACAUGAGGUUUGUGAAUUCGUAGCAAAAUGUUUAAUUUGUCAGCAAGUAAAUGCAGAGCACCAGGUGCCAUUGGGUUUACUACAACCUGUUAUGAUUCCUAAGUGGAAGUGGGAGCAAGUCAUGAUGGAUUUCGUAUCUGGUUUUCCUGUAACUCUGAAAAAGAAAGAUUCAAUCUGGGUGAUUGUUGACAAAUUGACUAAGUCAACACAUUUUAUUCCAGUCAGAACAGAUUUUUCACUUGAGAGGUUAGUGGGAUUAUAUGUGUCAAAGAUUGUGAGAUUGCACAGAGUUCCGAAUCUAUUAUUUCUGAUCAUGAUCCAAUGUUUACAUCGAGAUUUUGGAGUAAACUUCACGAGGCUUUGGGCACUAAACUAAAUUUUAGUACAGUGUUUCAUCCUCAGAAGGACGAGCAAUCAGAAUGAGUGAUACAAAUUCAGGAAGAUAUGCUAUGGUGUUGUAUACUAUAGUUUCAAGGUAGUUGGGAAAAUUAUCUACCAUUAGCUGAAUUCACUUAUGAUAACAGUUAUCAAUCCAGUUUAACAAUGGCACCGUUUGAAGCUCUAUACGAAAGAAACUGUAAAAUUUCGUUACAUUAGUUUGAAUUGAGCGAGUCUAAAAUGGUGGGAAUUGAUUUGAUUUGAGAAACUGAAACAAGGUUCGAACUAUUCGAGAUUGUUUGAAAGCUGCGUCUGAUCGUCAAAAACCGUACACGGACUUGAAAAGAAAAGAUAUAGAAUUUACAAUUGGCGAUCGAGUAUUUCUAAAUUUUUUUCCAUGGAAGAAAGUGCUACGUUUUGGCAGGAAAGGGAAGUUGAGUCCGAGAGUUAUCAGACCGUACGAGAUUAUUGAAAGAGUCAGCCCUGUAGCCUACAGAUUAGCUUUGCUCCUUGAACUCUAGAAAAUUCAUAAUGUGUUCCACAUUUCAAUGUUAAGACAAUACAGAUCUGAUCCUUCACAUGUGAUUCCUUAUAGUGAGAUUGAAUUACAGCCAGAUUUGCGUAUUCUGAGGAACUAGUGAAAAUUUUGGCUCGAGAUGUUAAAGAACUACAGAAUAAACAGGUACCGUUAGUAAAAGUCUUGUGGCAUCGUCAUGGUACAAAAGAAGCUACCUGGGGAACCAAUGAAUCAAUGAAACUACAAUAUCCGAAUCUAUUCUUAGGUAACAAUUUUGAGGACGAAAUUUCUAAGGGAGAGAGUUGUAACAGCCCGAUUUUUAGUUGUGUUAGAAUAGUAGUUUUGAGCCCACAAAUUCCAUCAUGUCGACUCGUAAAUAUUAUUUAUAUAAUAUUUAUGGAGUCAUUAGAGUCGUAUUAAAAUUUGGUUAAGAAAUUUUAACGUUUAGAUAGUGAAUUAAAAAAAAGGACUAAAUUGUAAAAGGUGCAAAACUUAGUAAUUAUUGCAUCUAGGUGAUCAAAUAGCUUAAUUAAUAGAUGAGGAAGGACUUAAGUAGCAAUUAUGCCUUAUUUAACAUGGUGGGACGGCAUUUUGGUUGAAAAUGAUAAAAUAAUAUAAUUACAAUGGCAAUUUUGUAAUUUAAUGGAAAAUUAAAAUAAAUUAAAGAAAGAUUAAAACAUUUUUAUGUUCAUUUCCAAUUGACCGAACACCAUAGCUAGAGAGCAAGGUUCCAGUUUUGAUUGUUCCUUUUCAUGUAAGUGAAAUCAAUAUCUAUUUCUUGUAAUUUUUAUGUUUUUGAUAUCGUUGCAACUAGGUCCAGCUAACCCGUACUUUCGUUUUUGAAUCUGUUAAAAAAUUUAGAAGCGGCCAGUGAUGAAGCUUGAGUGUUUUUGAUGACAACUACGUAUAUGAAGCUUUGAUUGUUGUAUUUGGUGGUUUUGUGAAGUGAUUUUUGUUAGAUUUUGAUAUAAGGAUUAAAUUUUGAAAAUGUCAAAAUUUUAGGGUUUGAUAGUGAAUUUGAUGUUUAAUAGGGACUGUUUAAGGGCAUAGUAUAUUCGGCUGAAAUUUUGACUUGAGAAACUGGUUAAUUUGAUCAUUUUUGGGUUAAGGGACUAAAUUGAAAAAAGUUGUAAAAGUUAAGGGUAAUUGUCUAAUUUUAAAAAAUAAAAGGGUAUAAAAUGUAAAGUGAAUUGGAAUGUGAAACGUAAGCCAAUAAUUGAGGAAUUUUACAUUUUAGAUCAAGAUCCUGUUGAUAUGCAUGGAAAAAGAAAAAUCGCAGAUUAGUCAUUGAACUUCUACAACUACUACAAUUCAGUCUAGGUAAGUCGUAAGGUUUACAAUUUAAUAUCUAUAUGAAAUGUGUGAUGAUAUAGUAUUAUAUAAUAUUUAUAAUUGUUUCAUCGUUGAUGUAAAGUUGUUUGAGAAAUAUUGAUGAAUUUCAAUACUUGAAUCAGAUGAACGCGGGAUAGAGUACAAUCGAAUUAUGACGUGUUAUGGGGGGAUUGGAAUGGAGAUUGUUAUGGAGUGAUAUAUAUAUUUUUCUUAGUAGGCCGAGGUUCAGCAUUUGUUGCGAACUCUCAUGUUAUACUUACUGUUUUGGCGUGUUUUUAGUUGGACUAGCUCUUAUGAGCAUCUGACGUGUUCUCGGGUGGAUUAGCUCUUACGAGCGAUUGGCAUGUUUCAGUUGGAAUAUCUAUUUACUCAUAUCCAUAAGUCGUUCAUCAAAUCAUAAAUCUCAGUAUCAUAACUUUUUUUUUAUAGUUAUAACAUGUAUUUGAGCUUUGAAUUGAACUAUGCAAUUCACGGGGUUGAGAUUUUGGAUGACAUAGAACACAUGUGGUUGAGUUAUUAUUGAAUGCUUUAUUGUAUUAAUUCGGUUAGAUUUAUCAUUUUUUACGUCAACUUACUAAGCUUCAAUGAGCUUAUUUCUGUUAUUUUCUGUUCUUGUAGAUACUUUGAAGGUUGGACGGUCAGAUCGACACUCAAGUCACACUAUCCACAUAUUUUUAAUAGUUUUUGGAACACUCAUUUUUUAUUUUAUGGCAUGUAAUAGGCUUUUUUUCAUUUUUAUUGUUUUGAUAUUGUUUUUCUAUUCUUGUAGAUACUUAAAUGCAAGUAGUUAACUUAAUAUGAUAUAUGUGAACUAAGGAAGAUGUUUAAGUGCAAGUUUAUGGUAAGUGUUAUUGGAAUGUUGUAAUUGAGGUGCCUAUGAUAGGCAUAUUGGUUGAAUGUUAAAUUGUGUGAAUUAACAUACCAUGGGUGAGAGUUCAUUUUGUUGUGAAAUUGUAUAUACUUGUGGUACCAAUGAGGGUACAUUGGUUAGGCACUUAGGAUGGUUGAUUUAACAAGUUUUGAGCUUGUUUAAUGUCAUUUUAAAUAGGUCUUUUGGCUGGUAAAUGAAUUACUUAGGGUCCAAUUAAGCUUGUCAUUUAAGGUUCAUUAGGGUCUACACGGCCUGAGACACGAGCGUGUGACUCAACCGUGUGAGGCAGAUGGCUUGGCGACACAGUUGUGUGUCAUCUGAUGAUUUCUUUAGUGUGCAAGUCAGUGAGUUACAUGGUCUAACACACGGCCUGGCACACGGGCCUGUGACACGGCCGUGUAACCCUACUUAGAGAGUUACACAGGCGAGGACAUGGGCUGGGACACAACCAUUUGUCCCUAGUUUGAUAAUUACAUGGCCUGAGACACAGGUGUGUGAUUCAGCUGUGUGAGGCAGAUGACCGUGUGACCCCUGUUUUUGCAUAUUUUGCAUCUUUUUCCUAAACUUUCCAAACUGUUUCAAAUUGGUCCCAAUUUGUUUCUAGGUUAUAUUUAGAGCCUCGUGGACUCGAUUUAGGGACAAUAUGCUUGUGUAUGAAUGGUUUAUGAUGUGAUUAUAAUAUUGAAUAGUACAAUGUGCAAAUAUUUUUGAUUGUAUAGAAAUCCUCCGUAACCGUAAUCUGACGACGGAGAUGGGUUAGUGGU
This 54424-nucleotide long non-coding RNA is filed under the name Gossypium raimondii (Peruvian cotton). RNAcentral describes it as "long non-coding RNA (GRAI_LNC006257)". The stretch from base 41684 to 41792 matches the Rfam family "Plant small nucleolar RNA R71". The record is from RNAcentral. Lineage: Eukaryota; Viridiplantae; Streptophyta; Magnoliopsida; Malvales; Malvaceae.